UGUUAUUUGAACAUUGAGAUUCGUGCUGAGUGCUACUGUUGCGAGAAUAAGAAUGCCGACUGUUACAAGACGAAGACUGAGUGCCUGCAGAAGUGUCAUUCCUACAACGGUUAAUGCCCACCUUCAUCGCGGUUUCUGGGAUAGAAUUCCAUAUGCUCGGAAAAUUUGUCCGUCGGUAAUAAAAGGCACCUUAUAUGGUUUGGGCAAUUAGGUUCCAAUUAAACAUUAGAUAGCCCGCAUGUUUCCGUGGAGAUCCAACAAGGAAAAAUUUGAUGAAAGAAAUCCGAGUAACUAGUUGUCUUGCAUAUUUACAAAGUUCAAAUCCUUUGGUUGUUGUGCUUUGACUCGAUUGUCUAUUAUGCUGUUUCAUUUACUUGCACAUUGCCCACUUGUUCAUUUAACACACAUCACCCACUUGGUGAUUUGGCAGUUGUGGGCAGACAGUCAUAUAGAUUUAUUUUUUUUGAGAUCUCGUCAUAUAGAAUUGUAAUAGCACUGACAUGGAAAAAGUUAAAAACUGAAAAAAGUAAAUCAAACAAACAAAUGGUGCGCAAACUAAAUCAAACGGCACAAGACAAGUGAGAUUUAGUCAGGACUCUUUCAGAUGAAGAUAAGUAAAUUGCAAGAAAACAACAUGCAGAAACAUUUUUAUAUCGUAGCAUAACAUGCAAAAAAGCACAUAUAUAGUACAACGACAACCCACGUGUCUAUAUGCUAUCUAUAUGUAUAUCUAUCUAUCUAUAUCUAUCUAUCUAUCUAUCUAUAUAUCUAUCUAUUUAUACCUACUAAUAAAAGACGGAGCAUUUAUGCCCAUCCGUCUCAUAUUUUGCAACAAAAUACCCUACAUUUUUCUUUAAUUAACCCGCGGUCAAGGUUUAGGUGAGGUUCGUCCGUUGUGCUUUUGCAAAGAACGAGGAAACGGUUGCGUUUUGUAAGAUUCAAACUCAUGAUGUCGCCUCCAUGCCCAAAAGCCACAGCCAACUGAGUUAGCAUGCACUUGUGCUACUAAAUAGGUCCAUUAUUUCAUUAAAUUGUCCAACUUUGAUACUUUGCAUGAGAAUACGCAAAUUUAUAUGUGAUUGCAAAUUGCCUAGAAAUCAACAAGCCAACUCGAUAACCAAGAAAUAGAGGGAGAGGAGGAAUUCACUCAAUAAAUAGUGUUAACUAGCAGGGUUUCCCGCGCAUUUGUGCGGCUAUAUUGACCCUUUCCGAUGCCAACUAUAUGGCCUUUCACUAAACUAUAUUUCGAUUAAAUUUACACCCUGUAUAUGUCAUCAUAGAAAAAAUGAAAAUCGUAAUGAAACAUGCAAGUGCAUUAGGUUGUUCAUUUUAAUAUAGAAGUGCAUUAGGUUUUUAAAUAAAUUCCUUGGCAUGUCAGGUUGCAACACCGAUAAAAAACCAUGUAUGGGAUUUCAUGCCAAUCUUGGUGUUUUUCCUCUUUGAUCACUCCUCCUUUGUAUCAUUUAAUAGGUUUUCGAGAAAUUCCCUACCAAGACAUAAAUCUAAACAUGAAAUUCCGGUAUGUAAAGGUCCCUUUUUCUAGUCAUAUCAAUCAACGGACGCAUUCUUAACUACCUUUUCUUGAUUAUUGCUGCCUACCCACUUAUGUAUCAAGAGAUUCACAUCUUCUAUCGUGCUUAUUUUUUCUAUUGAUAAUAUUUUACAAAAUAUUAUCUUUGACUCCCUCCCUUUUAAUUUCUGAAGACUUUGAAAGUGAAGAAAUUGGUGUGACCUUGAAGACUUGGUAUUCAUUCGAGGAACAUGAAGCGUGAAGACUUUUGUUUUUGUAGUUUCAUUUUCUCUUUCUUGAGUCAUAGGAAACAUCGUACUGUUAAGGGGGUCGAGGAAAUACUAAGGAAAAAUUUCCAAGUGAUGCUCAACUCAAAAUCCUACACCUACCAAUCCCUUCGAGUGAAGCCAUUGGAAAUCUCAUGCAGUUCAAUCAAUUUCUUCAGUGACAGAGACGAAGUACUUCUGGUCUCUGAGAAAUUUGUUCUGACUGAGAAGUUAGGAAUUCGCCAGUGCGGAUUACCUACAAGUGAGGAACAUGAUAGCCCUGAGGAAUUAGACACUCAAAAUUCCGACCGUUGCUGUGCUAUGCGCCAGCUGUCCCAAAAUAUCUUACCCACCUAACGGUCAUAUCAUUGAAGGGCAUUUAUGUCUUAUCAUGUAGGGCUGCUCCCUAGGCUAUAAAUAGCCGCCCCCUACAACCACUAGCUGGUUGGCUGCUCCGAGAGAAACUGACACUUGUCAUUUGAGAGCAUCCCAUCCUCCGAGGACUUUGAGCGAAAAUCAUCAAGUGAGGAAAACCCAAACCCAAACACCUAAAAACCCAAAGUGAUUGAGCAUCACCGAAGAGAUUGAUCCUGCGUGGAUCCGACGCUUGUUACCUUUAAAGACUGUGCAUCUUCCAGACGGUUAGGCGUCAUGGUCUAGAGCAUCCAAGAGGAAAUUGUGGAUCGCCGAGUGACAGAGUUUGUGAAGGUUUGGAAGUCACCUGAAGACUUACCACGAGUGAUUGGGCGAGGUCUGUGUGACCUUAGCUCAAGGAGAAUACGGUGAGGACUGUGUGUCCUCAGGUUUAAAUACCUAGCUGCUCCAACCAGACGUACAACCACUACAAGAAAUAUGUCAACUUGCGACCACCACUAUUGGUCACUGAAAGGUCAUUGUUUUUUAUUUGCGGCCUUUUUUUGACCAAAAACAGAAGGUCAAAAGCUGGCGGUCGUAAACUAAAAUUAACGACAUAUGUAAAAGGUCGUUGGUUCUUCGACCGAAAUUUUGGUCACUAGCAGCCUUCCCAAGCCACGUAAGAUCCAGCGUGGCAAGCUGACAUGGAUAAGAUUCAACCCAGUCCGAUUAGGUGUCUAUAUGGGCCAAGCCCAUUAAUUCAGCCCAUUUAUAUUUUUUUUCUGCUAAUUUUUGGUCGACUUCAUAGGCCAAGCCCAACAAUUCAGCCUUCUAAUUUUCUGGGCCAUGGCCCUUUUGCAGACCAUUUCUUUAAGCAUUUUUGUUCAAGUUUUCCAGAAAUAAAUAAUGUGUCAGUCCACUAUUAUUUGGGCCAUAGCCUUUUUAGAGCCCAUAUAUUAUUUGGUCCAAUAGAACAUUUGGUCUUUUUAUCCACUGAUUUCCAGUUUACACAUUUGGAUAGCAAACACUCAAUAAUUCUCUUGAUUAAAUGAUUAAAUUCAGAAAUCAUUCAGCCAAAUACGCACAACAGCACAUACAAGUCCGCACGUCCAACAUCAACUAAAACAAGCAAAAAUAGAUACACAUGCACGAUACACAAGCGCAUACAAGUGUGCUUACAAGCAAAAACAGAUACACAAGCACCAAAACAUGGUGCAACAUCAACUAAAACUGUGGUGCGCAUCUCCAUGCCUCUUGAUCUUCCGUCACAGCAGCAGCAGCAGCCUAAACAACAUUAGAUCCUGAUCCAGAUCACCAAAAAGAAACAUUAUUAAAUGUUUAGAGACAAUGCCAUCAACAUGAGGCGGUAAUCCAACUUAACACUUUGUCAACAUAUUUUACAUAUGCAAAUAACUAAGAUUAUACUGUAUAAGUUUAAGAUCCAAAUGCAAUAUGAAACUGAAUUGCCAAAUAGUAGCAUGUUUAGACAACUUAACAACAUUAUUAAUACUACUUCAGAUUUGGGCUAGUAGAAGGCCAGGCAGAAUUCAUGAGAACUUUAUUGAAUUCAUUCAAUAGAGGAUAGCACAAACAAAAAACACACUGUCAAAAUGAAUCAUGACUGGAAUUGUAGAUGUUCUGUCGGUUAUACUAUAUUAAACUGAGCCAAUUAUUGUAGGUGAAAGUAAUGCUCCUAGUAUAUCAUCAUCAUUAACAUCAAACAAUUCUGAAUGUAAUCAGAGGAAGCACAGCCCGAUCAUGUGCAAUCAACUCAUAAUAAAAGGGUACAGAUGAUUAUUAGUGUUACUAUUAACUUGAUGGUGGCAUCUUAUAUACAAAAACAUGUAUUCCAAAAAAACAAUCAAUAGGGCCGCUGGAAGGGGAGCCCCGGCUCUAGCAAAAGGUCUUAAUGCUUUAGAGAAAAACAGAUUUAGACAAAUAGGAUUUAGUCAAUAGAACCCCAGAAACCCAUAAAAUCACUUCACAUCCUGAUUCAGCGUUUUGUGUUGAAAUAUUGGCCAUCACAAGUAAUUUUGUGCAAGUCUCAAAACAAGGCAAUAAUGAUAUAAUUACUGAAGCCGCUGAUAUGGUUAGAUUAUUUGCAAGUGACUUCAAACAGAACAUAUGGCAUGCCUUAGUCAUGCCCUAAGGCUAAACAGAACAUAUUUAAGCACCUCCAUGAAUACAGCCAAGUCUCUUAACAUGCUUCUACUACAGAAAUCAUAACAACAGCAGGGUCAAGUUGAGUUAGCUGCAGACCUAGUUGAGUUGUCCCCUUCGCUUGGAGAGGACGACGAUCUCGUCGUUGCCCACGUCCCCCGCCAGCGGCCGACUGCUUCUCCACGGUCUGGAGGGUCAGGCAGAAAUCAUACUGCCAUAGUGUGCCCCUGGUUAACCCGAAUCAGCAGCUCUCCAUCCUACUCCAACAGACUGAACCUCUGCUUGCUAUCUCACCUGACUGCCUACACGCAAGAAGGCAAAAAAAAAACAUUCACUCAAAGCAUCUUACAAUUCACAACAAAUUCGAGAUUGACCCAAUUAAUAAUACAGCAUAUAGAGAUUUCAUAAUCAAAGUUCAUGCUGCUAGGCUGCUAGCUAUCAAGAUGAAAACAACAUGUAGCAGAUACAAGCAUACCAGGAAAGGUGGGCUAGGUGUUUAGUAAGAUCGUCUACUGUUCAGCAGGAAGAUGGGUCAUGACCAAAUAUUACCUCCCUGAUUUCAUCCACCGUGUGGGACUUGAGGGGAACCUUGGCAAAGGUCUGCAGGCUGAGGCCGAGCAGGUCGAGGACCCGCACGUAGUCGUCGCUCUUCAUGCCCAGGCUCAGCUCCGACGCCAUGUGCCGCAAGACCAUCGCCCUGAGAAGAGAAGCACAGACAGAAGGCAGCCGUGAGUGGGUGCCAAGGGAAAAAACAUAAGCCACAACCGAGAAUUGCAAGAUUUAGUAUAAAGGAAAUAGGAUUUCAUAGAUCACCUAACAUGGGUUGCAUUGAAAUCCAAAUGAGUCAACAAAAAUUGACUCCCAUCAACGGCGGGUAUGCGGUAGCAGCUGUUGUCAUGGCAACCAGAAACUCAGAAAUGAUAUUGGCGGCAAACCCAUUACAUGUACCAGACGCCACCCACCUAUCAAAAUUGAUAAACACUUCAGUUGUGUCCGAUCCUAUUGCAGGGCUCGGAAAUGACAAUGCCACAACCCUUUGCAUGUACCAGACCCCAUAAACCUGUCCAAAUUGCUAUAUGCACGACCCGUUACAGUCCACAGUUACAGGAUAUGAUAUGCUCAGAAAUGAACAAAUGCCAAAACCCUUUUACUUGUACCAGACCCCAACCACAUGUAGCUAGCAAAUUAAUCACUUCACGCGUCUGAUCCUCUCAAAUGCUAGACUUGAAGAACAUCAACAAGGCCAACUAAAAUCGGACCCUCCCAAUCAUGGAUUUGGCUCCCAGGUAAGUAAUAAAUCACGCAUCUGAUCAGGUAAAGAGGAAUCAAGAAUAGGAGAAGGUUACCAAUCCCAGCUCUCGGAGGUGUUCUCCACCAGGUUGGGUUGGGUUGUGCGCAGACGUCGUAGAUGAUCGGCUUCUCGAACCACCAGAUGACGAUUUGGGUCCCCUCGGUGUACACCUGCAUGGAGCAAACGCCCAAGGGCGACCAGAAAUCAACCGCAGACCAAACGCGCAGAGAACAACAGGGAGCAAGGGACCAACCGCGGACCAAGCCGCCGUGGCCGCAGAUCCUGGGUGGUCGCUCGCGGAUCCGUCGGCGUCGAAGAUGGAAGGCUGGUCUUGGUGUUUGUCGUGGAAUUGUCACGGCAGAUGUCCUUAGCGUGAGGACUUAGUCGUGAGGCCAGCGCAUCUAUGUAGUAGGUUGAGAGGGGUUGAUUGGGAUGAGAGACGCAGGGCGGAUCAACGCACAAGACAAGGGUUUAGACAGCUUCGGGCCCCGGGAAAUAUCAUCCGGUAAUAGCCCUACAUGCUGUUUGUGGCUAGGUCUCAUUAUACUCAUAAGAGAAUCGCCGGUAAGCCGGCUCUUUGUGUCUAACCCUAGAUAUUGUUUCUUGUUGCUUGUCCCUCUUUGGGGUGCCCUGCCCCUCCUUAUAUAAGUUAGAGGGGCGGGUUACAUGUGGAGUCCUAGUAGGACUAGGACUAGUCUAUCUUCUCUUACAAGUUAAUUACAAGUCCGGGUCUUGCUUCCUCGUAAAGGAAGUAUUCGUCAUCCCUUUCUUCUUAAGCCGGCCCAUCAUAUACGUGAGCCGGCCUUCUGGGCCUUGGGCCUUGUUGUCCAUCUGACCCGCCCGCCGGGUUACUAAUGAGUCGCCAAGAUCGGGCAGGUUAUCUGUGAAUCGCCAAGCUCCGGGCGGGUCACCAGUGAGUCGCCAAUUCCGGCCGGGUCAUACCGCGGGGUAUAUCCCCGACAGUGUUGGCUGAUGAAGACGUCGGGGUCCUUCUUCUCCUCCAACUCCGUCCGUCAGGUACCCAUCCCAUCAGCGCCGCUCCGCUCCGACCGCGAACCCUAACCCUAACAGAGAAGGAUGAGGGAGCUUGUGUGCGGCCAGACACGGAGAUGGAGGCGGACGACGUAGGUAGGGAAGGAAGGAAGGGGAGGGGAGGUUGGCGCACGGCGGCGACAGGCGAGGUCGGUGGUGGCGGCGGGGAGGGGAUGGGGAGGGAGGUAGCGGCGGGGAGGGGAUGGGAAGGGGAGGAAGCGACGAGUGGUUGGGCAGGGUUCGCGAGGACGAGGAGUGGGUGCAGUGGGUUUUUUUCUCCUUUCUUCAGAUGGAUGGAUGGAUGGACGUGGGAUUGCUAGCAAUGGAUGGUAGGAUGUCUGCCAUGUCAUCGAUCCGUGUCAUACAUGGUUCCACCAAUCAAAAUCCAGCUUAUGUAAUUGUGUUUCUUUCUUUUGUCUCCUUUAUAUUUUUUAACCUCUUAUUUGGGGUAAACACUCAACAUAUUAGCCUCAUGUUGUAUGUUUAAAUGACCCAAUAUUGUGCACAUAUGUGUAUCUUAGGAUUUCAAACAAUGAUGAUUUUGUGGUCUUCAUUUGCAUUGCACACAAAAAGAAUUCAUUUUUCGAGUGCCCCAAAUGACUUUUUUUGUGAAGAACCUACCAAAUAAUUGUUGCACAAUUGGACCAACUCAUUUUUCUAAAAUACUAGGACAUAUUUAAUUCACAAUUGACCAAAUGGUUGGGUAUAAAAAGUUUUGAUCCACCUCUGGUGAAAAAGACAAAUUUCCGCUGAUUCAGUUGGAAGCGGGUCAAAUUUGAACUGCGGCUGCCUCAUAGUUUGCUAUUUAUUUUUCUCAAAAAUCAUUUCUAGGUACAAAAGUAUCUAUUUAAUCAGAGAAACACCAAAAAAAUUCCAAGAUUCAACCACUAGCUAGGAACGGUCAUUCCCGCCGUUUUGACCGCAUUUUGAAACAGGCAUAAAAAUUUCAAAACAAAUCAAAAAAAUUGUAAAACCUUCGCAUUGUGCCAUUAUAUGUGACCAAGUUACCAGGAAAAAUAAUAAACUUGUAAUACGGCAAUUCUUUUAAAAAAGUGUUCUCAGAAAUGAGCUAUCAUGUGUGAAGAUUCAUGGCUUUCAAGUCAAAUGAUCAAUCUUAUGGCCAAAUUCAUGGCCUAGUUUGUUCAGAUGGUCUCAUAUUGUGCACAAGGGUGCAUCUUGGAAUUCCAAACAAUGUUGCCUAAGUGAGUUUUCAUUUUCUUUGCACGGAAAAUUCAUUUUCCAUUUUUCGAGUGCCCCAAAUGAGGUUUUUUUUAAGGAACUACCAAAUAAAUGUUGUAAAAUUGGACCAAAUCAAUUUUAUAAAAUACUAGGACAUGUUUAAUGCACAAUUGACAAAAUGGUUGGGUGUAAAAGGUUUUUAUCCACCUUUGGUGAAAAAGACAAAUUUCCGCGAUUCAGUAGGAAGCGUGUCAAACUUGAACUGCAACUGCCUUAUAGUUUGCUCUUUAUUUUUUCCAAAAAUCAUUUCUAGGUACAUAAGUAUCUAUUUAAGCAUAAAUACAUGGUUUGGUGGUGAUACGUUGAGGUUUGGACGGUGGCCCACGGCCCCAACUCCAAAGCGCGUAGACUCACAUGCCCGCCGCGUGGUCAUCGCGUGACCGUGGCGUUGCCAUGCGUUCUGGGAAGCCUAGGCAUGCCUAGUAGGUUUGGCAAUCCCAAGGUAGAUGCUUGGAAGAAAAUAACAACAGAAGAAUCUCACGAGGAGACCGAACAAUGCUCAAACAUGAAUUAGCACCCAAGUGUUUGAUUAGUGGUACGGGAAAUUCACAUGGCCAAUGGGCCUGAGUUUUGGCCGAGGAUGAUCAUCUACUAAGGACACUAUCUUGGAAAAUUUGCAGCUCAAAUGGAGGAGCCUAGGUGUCACUCGCUUUGCAACGUACCACACUGAACAGAAAUAUGAAUGUUGAAGCCACACUCACAUGUAUUGUUAGAUGGGGCUCAAAUUUUGUGGAGAGCUAUGAUUUGGGAAUAUAGAAGAUGUGGCAAAAAUUCAGCUCAUUAGGAUAUGCCUAGCUAGUACUUCCUUCACAACAGUUCGAGUUGAACAAAAACUUUGGAAAUUUGCCGAGGAAGAUUUACCAGGCAAAUGGAGUUGAAUAUUGUCAUGAGGCAAUGAUUUGGAUAGUAAAGAAUGCCCAAUUUUUUUUGGGAAUUUUGGGAAUGACAGAAAUAUAGGUUGCUUCACAACCUAGGGCAAAAAUUGACACAUGGACAUGACACAUAAGCAAAACUGAUGAGGUAGCGCCUAGUCAUAGCAAUAAGUACCAAUGCAUCCACGUUCACAACCUCAUGACCAUUUAUAUUGGUCGUAAUAAGGUAGAAAUAAGGUCAUUGGCCACUCUUGUCUGCUUUGUGACCAUUUGGUGUAAGCAAUUUCAGGGUUUGAGCCCUUCCAAGUGAAAUGGCCGUGGAUUUAUGACCAAUUCAGCUGGGGUCACUAAGAGAAGGUCACAAGUUGACAUAUUUCUUAUAGUGAACUGUCACAGCAGUUGGAACUGGUCUACCAAAUCAUUGUCUUCACCAAGCCUACUGGUUCUAUUUCCUCGACUCUUUCAUUUCCUCAUUACUGUGGUGUGUGCUUGUUCAUAUAUGUUUGAAGACUUUGACUCAAGACUUUCUCAAUUUCCUCAGUUCAAUUUCUUCAGUCUAUUUUGUCUUCAUCCUAUUUUAUCCUGUGCUUACGCUUCCUGUACUCCGUGUCUGUUUUCAUUUCAGCAUGAUGACCAUGUUUAUGUUAUGUCAUGUAUGCAUCUGAGUACUUAUUCCGCUGCAAGUAGUUCUUCGCUAAGGAAUUUCCUCACCCUGAAAUUCAUCAGUGAAGAAUUCAUAAAAAUCGCCUAUUCACCCCCCUCUAGUCGAUUUAACGCACUUUCAUCGUCACAUUAGCAACGCCAGACGCUGAGACGAGCACGUGACACCAAGCCCACCUUGUCUAUCUUACGGUAACGCGAGUCGAGGCGGACGUCGACGCGGUAGCGACGACGGACGCCGAGAUGAGUACGUGACACCACUGCCACCCUGUCUAUCUUAGGGCAACGCGAUUCGACGCGGACGUUGUCGCGGUAGCGAUGAAGGAUGCCGAGACGAGCACGUGACACCACUGCCCCUGUCUAUCUUAGGGUAACGCGAGUCGAGGCGGACGUCAUCGCGGUAGCGGCGACGGACGCCGAGACGAGCAUGUGACACCACUGCCACCCUGUCUAUCUUAGGGUAAUCCGACUCGAGGGGGAUGUCAUUGUGGUAGCGACGACGGACGCCGAGAUGAGCAUGUGACACCACUGUCACCCUGUGUAUCUUAAGGUAACGCGGGUCGAGGCGGACAUCGUCGCGCUAGCGACAACGCACGCCGAGACGAGCACGUGACACCACUGCCACCCUGUCUUAUGGUAACGCAAGAGUCGAGGUGGACGUCGUCGCGGUAGCGACGACGGAUGCUGAGACGAGGACGUGACGCUAGGGCCCCCCUGUCCCCGUCGCGGUAGCGACGAUGGACGAUGAGACGAGUACGUGACACCACUGCCACCCUAUCUAUCUUAGGGCAACGUGAGUCGACUGCCAUUUGAUAUAGGUCAGAACUUUUCUGAAUACUUAGUGUCACCAUGUGAUCCAGACGAAUAAUUAAGAAAGUGUAUAAUUUUACAACCAUGGAUACGUGAGUCGAGGCGGACGUCAUCGCGAUAGUGACGGCGGACACCGAGAUGAGCACGUGACACCACUGCCACCCAUUCUUAGGGUAACGCGAGUCGAGGCGCACAUCGGCGCAUUAGCGACGACGGGCGCCGACACGAGCACGUGACACCAGGGCCACCCUGUCUAUCUUACGGUAACGCGAGUCAAGGCAGAUGUCGUUGUGGUAGCGACGAUGGACGCCGAGACGAGCACGUGACACCACUGUCACCCUGUCUAUCUUAGGGCAACACGAAUCGACACGGACGUCGUCGCGGUAGCGACGACGGACAUCGAGACGAGCAUGUGACACCCUGGCCACCCUGUCUAUUCAAAGUGCGUUAUAUCGACUAGAGGGGGGUGAAUAGGCGAUUUUUAUGAAUUCUUCACUGAGGAAUUUGCGGGUGAGGAAAUUCCUUAGCGAAGAACUACUUGCAGUGGAAUAAGUACUCAAGAGUAAGCAUAGCAGAGCAUAGGCAUGGUCAUCAUGAUGAAAUGAAGACAAACACAGAGUACAGAAAGCGUAAACACAGGAUAGCACAGGAUGAAGACAAAAGGACUGAAGAAAUUGAACUGAGGAAAUUGAGAAUGUCUUCUGUCAAAGUCUUCAAACAUAGAUAUGACAAGCACACAACACAGUAAUGAGGAAAUGAAAGAGUUGAGGAAAUAAAACCAGUAAGCUUGGUGAAGACAAUGAUUUGGUAGACCAGUUCCAACUGCUGUCUCAGUUGUACAUCUGGUUGGAGCGGCUAGGUAUUUAAACCUGAGGACACACAGUCCCGGACACACAGUCAUCACCGUAUUCUCCUUGAACUAAGGUCACACAUACCUCGUUCAAUCACUCGUGGUAAUUCUUCAGGUGACUUCCGAACCUUCACAAACUCGGUCACACGGCGAUCCACAAUUCCUCUUGGAUGCUCUAGACCAUGACGCCUAACCGUCUGGAAGAAGCACAGUCUUCAAAGGUAACAAGCGUCGGAUCCACUCAGGAUCAAUCUCUUCAGUGAUGCUCAAUCACUUUGGGUUUGUAGGUGUUUGGGUUUGGGUUUUCCUCACUUGAUGAUUUUCGCUCAAAGUCCUCGGAGGAUGGGAUGCUCUCAAAUGACAAAUGUCAGUUUCUCUCGGAGCAGCCAACCAGCUAGUGGUUGUACGGGGCGACUAUUUAUAGCCUAGGGAGCAGCCCGACAUGAUAAGACAUAAAUGCCCUUCAAUGAUAUGACCGUUAGGUGGGUAGAUAUUUUGGGACAGCUGGUGCAUAGCACAACAACGGUCGGAAAUUUGAGUAUCAAAUUCCUCAGGGCUGUCAUGUUCCUCACUGUGUAGGCAAUCCGCACUGGCGAAUUCCUAACUCCCCAGUCAGAACAAAUUCCUCAGAGACCAGAAGAACUUCGUCUCUGUCACUGAAGAAUAUGACUGAACUGUAUGAGAUUUCCAAUGGCUUCACUCGAAGGGAUUGGUAGGUGUAGGAUUUUGAGUUGAGCAUCACAUGGAAAUUUUUCCUUAGUAUUUCCUCGACCCCCUUUAACAGUACGGUGUUUCCUAUGACUCAAGAAAGAGAAAAUGAAACUACGAAUACAAAAGUCUUCACGCUUCAUAUUCCUCAAAUGAAUACCAAGUCUUCAAGGUCACACCAAUUUCUUCACUUUCAAAGUCUUCAGAAAGUCUUCAGAAAUUCAAAGUCUUCAGUCGAAGAACUUCAUUUUUAGGGGUUGACUUUCUCUGUAAAUAUCAAACUCCUCAUAGACUUAACCUGUGUACACUCAUAAACACAUUAGUCCCUUAACCUAUAAGUCUUCAAUACAUUAAAAUCACUAAGGGGCACUAGAUGCACUUACAAUCUCCCCCUUUUUGGUGAUUGAUGACAAUAUAGGUUAAAUUUUCAACGGGGAUAAACAUAUGAAGUGUAAAUACUGAUAUUUAGGAAUUUGAUUGCAAGAUAUAGAAGAACUCCCCCUGAAGAUGUGCAUAGUGAGGAAUUUGUUUUUGAAGCAAUGCACACUUGAAGAGUUGAAUCAUGGAGAUCUCCCCCUAUAUCUUGUAAUUCAUACACGCAUUUGACAUAAUAUAUGAAGAAUUUGAAAUGCAUGAUGAAAUAUGGUGACUGAUGUAAUUCAGCAUGCGUGCAAUAACAUUAACGAGGAAUAAGCAUGCAAAAGAAACAACAAAAGUAUCAGGCCACCAUAGAGUUUUAAGUUUACAACUCGAUAUAACAAAGUCAUCAGAAGAACGAGAGUUGUAACUUAGAAAAAAACGCCCAUAAAAGAUAGACCCGCUUGAAGACUAACUCAAAUUUCUCCCCCUUUGUCAUCGAAUGACCAAAAGGUUCGAAAAUGAGGACUAACGCCCCAGAAGAAUAUCAAGUUGAUGAAGGAGCGCCAGCGUUGUUGGGGUCAUUUGUUGAUGUAGGGCCUGCCGCAGUGUCGUCCAAGUCUUCAUGCUUAUCAGUUUCACGCGAUGAAGAAUAGGAGCUGGCCACCAAGGAAGGAACCUUGACCUUCUUGUAUUUCUUCGGUGGAGGUGCAGACCAGUCAAAGUCCUCCUUGAGACCCAUGUUCUUCAUAUCUUCUUCGCUGUAAAUGUGAGACAGAACAGCCCAGGUGCGACCGAAGACUUCAUGGAGGUAGUAAUGGUUUUUCUUCACUGCAUUAUGUGUAGCAGUCAUGUUGUGAAGAAUUGAACCAAACUGACGCUUAACCCAUUUAUGGUUUCGAUCCACCUUCUGGUGAAGACUUAGCAUAAGUUCACGGUCAGUCAUCACACGAGGAGCAGUAGCUUGAGGAUUUGGCUUGGAGGCAUGGGCAGCAGAAUCAUGAGUGGCAGAGUCAUCAUUGGUGGAAUAAGAUGCAGCCUUGGGAAAUUGACCAUCCAAUGGACGAAUGCCUUCAUCUAUAACAGCUGGUGCCUUGCCCUUUUCGUCAGCUGAGGAAUAGGUCCACUUGAGGACUUCAAUCGGGGGCAAGUAGCUGAGGUGAUUCUGAAAAUCAGCUUUGUAGUUGAGUGAAGACCUUGUUCUGAUGAAUCUCAUAAUCCACGGUGCAUAAGGCUUCAACUCAAACGGUGAAAGUGCAACAUUUGCCAGAGUCCUCAUGAAGAAAUCAUGAUAAUUGACAGGAAUGCCAUGAAUGAUGUUGAAAACCAGAUUCUUCAUGAUGCCAACAAUUUCCUCAUCAGAUGAGUCGUGGCCUUUGAUUGGACUCAUAGUCUUCGUCAGAAUGCGAUAGACUGUCCUUGGUACAUACUGCAAUUCCUUCACGAGGAAUUUUGUCCUUGAGGCUUGACCUGGUUUCCAUGGCUUCAUCAGCACUUGCAUAUAGUGAUCAGUAAGCUCAGGUUCUUGGUACAUGCAACAAGCUCCUUCAGGUGGAGAACUGAUGGGCAGGGCGUGAAGUAAUUCAGUGGCCGGUUCCUUAUAGUGAGUAUUUUCAGCCAUCCAGUCCAAAACCUAGGAGUUCACAUCGUCAGGAUCUCCCGUGAUGUGUAAAGUUGCGUAGAAUUGAAGAAUGAGUUCUUCAUUCCAAUCAACUAUGUCUGUGCAAAAGUUGAGGAGGCAUGUGUCAUGAAGCACACUGAGGACAGGAGUGAAGCAUGGCAGUGAUUCCAUGUCCACAUGAGGAAUAUGCUCGUGGUCGAAGACUUUUUCCUUGUUGAAGAGCAGUGAAGAAUAGAAGUUGGCCUAGCUGGCGGUCCAGAAGCGCUUCCUUCUAAGACGAGCAGAAUCAUAGGGAUUGUAGUCAGUGAAGAACACGUGCUCGCCAAAGAAAUCAUCAGCCUUGAAUUUCUGUGUCACAUCCCUAGUUCUGGUAUGACCUAGGCUAGCUAGUCAUGUGUGCAUCAUGUUUAAAUUCCAUUUAAAUUUGAAGUGGGGAUCUGUGAAACCCUCAGAAUCAUUUCUGGAAAUGACCCAGAUAAAAAUUGCUCCAAAAGGGUCCAAGAAAAUGUUCAUGUUGCUCUCUGAAAAUAUUGGACAGAGAUAAAAAUCAAACCAAUAUUUUUAGGAGAUCAUAAAUAUUUAUUUUGGGCAUUUGGAAUUAAUGCAGUAAUUAUUUGCUUUGGAUAUAUAUUGUUAUAUAUAUAUAUAAUAUUGUCCAAAAAUUAUGCCAUUUGUUGAGGAGUUAUGGAAUAAUACCACUAGCCCCUACAAAAAUUGGCAUAAGAAAAUAAAAUGAUUUAGUAUUCUACUAAAUCAGAACAAAUGUCAGAAAAAUAGAAAAGAAAACAAAAAGGGAAAAGCUUACCUGUGCUCACCCAAGGCCUGGCCUGGCCCAGCAGCCCAGCAGGCCGGCCCAGCCGACUGGCCAGUGCCAGUCAUCGUCCUCCUGGCGCCAGGAGGACGAUGGGCACGCGCUCGCUGCCCGCGCGCAUGCGCGCCACCUCCUGCUUCUCCCCCCUCAUCGCCCUGGACGCCUCCCGCAAUGCCACGCACACCCCUGACCCCUCUCACUCUCCCUGGACCCCUUUCCCCUCCUCUGCUCUCUGUUCCGCGCCGCCCGAGCGGAGCUCGUCGCCGCCGACGUCGUUCACCGUAGCCUCCACCUCCUCCUCAACCUCUCUCCACGCCCAGAAGCUCCGCCAUCGUCCCCCUCAUCUUCACGACCGAGCCACGCAAGCCCGGAGGCCCUGCAUCGCCGGCAACAUCACCAUCUUCCUCCUCCGCCGCCCUGGAUCGCCGACGUUGAUUAGUCGCCGUCCGGCCUCCCCCGAGCUCGCUGACGUCUCCAAACUACGUGGGGUGAGCCCCUCUUCGUUUCGCCCCUAUCCCCGUCGCCCCGCACGUCCUCUAGCACUAGCGCCGCCGUGCCCGAAGCUCGCCGCCGCCCUGCCAUGUCAUUGUCGUGGGCACAGCCGCCUCCGCCCGCUUUUGAGCUUACAGCCGUGCUAGUUGAGCUCGCAGGAGUCCGUAGCACUGCCCAGUGGUGGAAAUGGUGCACCGUAGAAUCGACCCGCACAACGCCGUGGCUCUGUCGCCGUUGAACCUCGCCGCCGGCGAGAUUCCGGCCUCCCGUGACCUCCCGUCUGGUCCAUCAUAUGCACGAGAGCAAGAGCUCAUGCCCGGUGCCUCCCGAGCGACAAACCGCAGCCCCUAGCAUGUUUCCGGCAAUCUUCCGCCGCGGUUUGAGGUCGCCGCCAGCCAAACUCCGGCGUGCCGACGUGGCACGGCCAUUAGUGGUUAAACCCCACUAAUUAGCCGCCCUACAGCCGCUGACAGCGGGCCCCACAGCAGGUCAAAGGUGAGUCAACGCGGGGUUAACCCCUGUCUCACUGACCAGUGGGCUCCGCCAGUCAGAUUUGACCCUGGCCAGCCCGUUGACCUGCUGACGCAGCGAUGACGUCAUGCUGAUGCAGUAAAGGAUUUUCUGGAUUUAAAUUAAAUCAGGAAAUUCCAGAAACUAGUAAAACUUCUAAAAUUCAUAGAAAUUCAACCGUAGCUCAGAUUGAAAUAAUUUAUAUAUGAAAAAUUAUCAGAAAAAUGCAAUCUAUCCAUCUGUACUAGUUUCAUGCAUGACAAACCAACUUAUACCUACUGUAUAAGUGAAAACAUAUAAAUGGAUUAUAUAAGGACUUAAAUUAGAGUCGCAUUUGAACCUUUGGUUCAAAUGGAUCUCUUCCAAGUUGAAUGCUAAAUGCAUUGGCUCAAAAUACAUCACAUAUACAUGCCAUAUUCAUGCAUCAUAUUGCUGCAUAUGAUUGUGUUUUUGACUGUCGACACCGUUCCCUCUCGAUAGGUCCUGCUCCGGAGAGUGUUCCAGAGUACCUGUCUGAGGAGCAGUGCCACCCUGUUGAUCUACUAGGCAAGCAAACCCCCUUUGUUCAUUCCGAUACAAUCCUACUCUCUCGCUCCUGCUCUCUUUUACUGCAUUAGGACAACAACGAUUCAACUGCUACUUUAUGCUGCGGUAGUUGAACCCAUUCCUCUGCAUGACCUGUCAUUGCCACAGUAAAUAGUUGAAACCCACUAGCAUGUGUAGGAGUUGAUUGAGCCAUGUUGUGUUCCUACCAUGCCAUGCCUACUAUUGCUUAGAGUUGUGUCAGGUCUGAUUCAUUGGGAAUGAAUUGGAGUGUUACGAUAUGUUCUGGUGCCGAGAGUUAAGCGUGUGAACACGAUUUGGUAAAGGUAGCGGUGAGAGGCCAUGUAGGAGUACAUGGUGGGUUGUCUCAUUGGAACCGUCCUUAAGCACUGAGUUCUGUGUAUGUUGUCCAAUGACUAGCUACUACCACACAUUGGGUUCCGGUAACUCGACCCCUCUCGACUUAUUAACCAACUUGAUCUCUGUCCAGGAGUUGCAACUAGUUUCUGGUGUUUGUAGGUAGUGCUAUUUUUCUACCGAGUGGCACCCGGCAGGGUGGGCUUGGGACAGACUAGGCACACGUGGCCCGGUGUACCCAGUGGCACCCGGAUGGUGGGCUCGGGAACCCUGUACACAUCGUUUGGGGCCGUGAGCGACACCCCGGCCGGAUCUCCUUGCGGAUGGAACCCGAAUAGGUGAUAAACCUGGACUAGAGUCUUGUGUGGUUAGUCAGGUCGUGGCCGACACCCUCGCCAGGCUUCCGCUUGAAGGUUGCCGAGGUACAUGACGUGUACAUGGCGGUAAGUGGCGAGAGCGUGUGUGACGCAGUACACCCCUGCAGGGUUAUCAUGAUCUAUUCGAAUAGCCGUGUCCUCGGUUAUGGACUUCUUGGAUGCUUACGUGGUACAUAGACAACCUGAAGUGGAUACUCUAAAAUGCUCAAGAUAAGUGUGAGUGCUAUGGAUGGCUUCUUGUAGUGAGACGGGAAUGAAUCCAUAGUGGUGUAUUGAGGUGGUGAUUAGUGGACUCGUGUGCGCCUUCUUACCUCAAAGAAGUCUCUCGUAGUCGUAGAACAGGAUAGCCACUGAGUCAAAGCUGGCUUGCUGCAACUAAACCCCACACUACCUUCUUGAUACAAAUGCAUGUAAGAUAGGAUCUGAAGUAAGUCUUGCUGAGUACCUUUGUACUCAUGUUGCUUUGUUAAUGUUUUUGCAGCGGAGACUUCAGUCUUACUAGUUGCUCCGCUUGGACUUCGACGAGUAGCUUGUACCUCAACUACGAUCUUGUACCCUUGGGAGGGUCUUGUAGAUAGUCAGGCUUCUCAGCCUUUUUCUUUUGUAGUUGUCUGUACUCACAAAUGUAAUGCUUCCGUUGCUUGUAUGCUCUGAAUGAUGGGUCAUGUGACCCCUGUUGUACUUAAUGCUAUGUGGCUCUUCUGGGCCUUUUAUCUAUAUGAGUUUGCGUUAUGUUGUGAUGCCAUGUUGUACAGCACAUACUUGCAUGUUAUGCGUACGUGUAACGUGUAUUGCUAUGUGUGGGAUCCGACAAUCUAGUUGUUUAUCCUUGGCAGCCUCUCUUAUGGGGAAAUGUAGUCUAGUGCCUCCUUGAGCCAUAGUAGUCCGCUACAGCCCGGUUCACCGGAGUCCUGCUAGCCCAGCACUACUGCUCUGGACACUUGACUGGCCGGCAUGUGUUUCAUUUCAUUCCUGUGUCUGUCCCUUCGGGGAAAUGUCACGCGGUGACAUCCGGAGUCCUGCCUAGCCUGCUACAGCCCGGGUUCCCGGAGUCCUGUUAGCCCAGUGCUACAGCCCGGAUUCACACGCUGCUGACCGACACGCUCGAUGUUGAUUCAUGUAUGCAUGUACCCAUACGUUAGUGCCGCUUUGGGUUCACGACUAGCCAUGUCGGCCCGGGUUCUCUGUCAUAUGGAUGCUAGCGACAUUGUCAUAUACGUGGGCCAAAAGGCGCAAACGGUCCCGGGCCAUGGUAAGGCGACACCCGUGGGAAUACCGUGCGUGAGUGUCGGGACCCCGAUUCCAAGUCACACCGAUCUAGCCUGUAACACCUCAUAUCACUUNNNNNNNNNNNNNNNNNNNNNNNNNNNNNNNNNNNNNNNNNNNNNNNNNNNNNNNNNNNNNNNNNNNNNNNNNNNNNNNNNNNNNNNNNNNNNNNNNNNNNNNNNNNNNNNNNNNNNNNNNNNNNNNNNNNNNNNNNNNNNNNNNNNNNNNNNNNNNNNNNNNNNNNNNNNNNNNNNNNNNNNNNNNNNNNNNNNNNNNNNNNNNNNNNNNNNNNNNNNNNNNNNNNNNNNNNNNNNNNNNNNNNNNNNNNNNNNNNNNNNNNNNNNNNNNNNNNNNNNNNNNNNNNNNNNNNNNNNNNNNNNNNNNNNNNNNNNNNNNNNNNNNNNNNNNNNNNNNNNNNNNNNNNNNNNNNNNNNNNNNNNNNNNNNNNNNNNNNNNNNNNNNNNNNNNNNNNNNNNNNNNNNNNNNNNNNNNNNNNNNNNNNNNNNNNNNNNNNNNNNNNNNNNNNNNNNNNNNNNNNNNNNNGCCUUACCAUGGCCCGGGACCGUUUGCGCCUUUUGGCUCACGUAUAUGACAGUGUCGCUAGCAUCCAUAUGACAGAGAACCCGGGCCGACAUGGCUAGUCGUGAACCCAAAGCGGCACUAACGUAUGGGGACAGGCAUACAUGAAUCAACAUCGAACGUGUCGGUCAGCAGCGUGCGAAUCCGGGCUGUAGCACUGGGCUAACAGGACUCCGGGAACCCGGGCUGUAGCAGGCUAGGCAGGACUCCGGAUGUCACCGCGUGACAUUUCCCUGAAGGGACAGACACAGGAACGAAGUGAAUCACAUGCCGGCCAGUCAAGUGUUCCGGAGCAGUAGUGCUGGGCUAGCAGGACUCCGGUGAACCGGGCUGUAGCGGACUAGUAUGGCUCAUGGAAGCACAAGACUACAUUUCCCCAUAAGAGAGGCUACCAAGGAUAAACAAGUAGGUUGUCGGAUCCCACACAUACCAAGCAUUUCAAUCAUACACACAAUAUGCUCGAUAUGUGCAAAUACAACAUGGCAUCACAACAUAACUCUACGACUCAAGUAUUUAUUCAUUAGGCUCCGAGGAGCGAGAUAUUACAAACAUGGGUCUCAUGACCCAACAUUCAGAGCAUAAAAGGCAAACACAUGCGGAAGCUUAACAUGUCUGAGUACAGACAUUUACAAAUGGAAAAGGCUGAGAAGCUUGACUAUUUACUAGAUCCUGCCGAGGGCACAAGAUCGUAGCUGAGGUAUCAAGCUAAACGUCGAAGUCCACAUGAGACUAAUAGCGAGACUGACGUCUCUCUGCAAAACAUAAAAUAAGCAAACGUGAGUACAAAUGUACCCAGCAAGACUUACAUCAGAACUAUCUACAUAUGCAUCGGUAUCAACAAAAGGGGUGGUGGAGUUUAACUGCAGCAAGCCAGCUUUGACUCGGUGGCUAUCCUAAACUACGACUGCAAGUAACUCUUUUGAGGUGGCGCACACGAGUCCACAUAUUCACCAUAUCAAUACACCACUAUGGAUCCGCUCCCGUCUCCCUACGAGAACGCCAUCCAUAGCACUCACGCUUAUCUUGCGCAUUUUAGAGUAUCCACUUUCACUUGUCUAUGAACUGUACAGGCAACCCAGAAGUCCAUUUCCGCGGACAGGGCUAUUCGAAUAGAUGAUGUUAACCCUGCAGGGGUGUACUUCGACACACACACUCUCACCACUUACCGCCGUUUACACGACAUGUACUCGGCAACCUUCAAGCGGAGGCCCAGCGAGGGUGUCGGCCAUAGCCUACCUAAACACUCAAGUCUCUAGUCCAGGUUUAUCGCCUAUUCAGGUUCCAUCCGCAGGGAGUCCGGCCGAGGUUUCCACAUACGGCCCCGAACGAUGUGUGCGGGGUUCCGAGACACCAAACGGGCGCCCGGCAUACCCGGCCACGUGCCUACCGCAUCACAGCCCACCCCUCCGGUCAGCGCUGCCCACGGCCUCCAGCAUACUACAAACACCAGAAACUACUUGCAACUCCUGGACAGAGGACAAGGGUGAUUAAGAAGCCGAGAGGGUCCAUUGGUAGUAACUGUAUCAUGGAUCACAAACACAGAACUCAGUUCCUGAGGACGGCUGCAAUGAGACAACCCACCAUGUACUCCUACAUGGCCUCUCACCGCUACCUUUACCAAAUCGUGUUCACACUCUUAGCUUACACACAGUAGGACAUGUUCAUCACCAUUCCAAUUCAUCCCCGACGAAUCAGACCUGACACAACUCUAAGCAAUAGCAGGCAUGACAAACAAGCAUGAAUGAGUAGGCACACCAGGGCUCAAACAACUCCUACUCAUGCUAGUGGGUUUCAUCUAUUUACUGUGGCAAUGACAGGUCAUGCAGAGGAUAAGGGGUUCAACUACCGCAACAAGUAACGGUUGAAUCGUUGUUGUCCUAAUGUAGUAAAAGAGAGCAGGAGCGAGAGAGUGGGAUUGUAUCGGAAUGAACAAGGGGGUUAUGCUUGCCUGACACUUCCGAAGAUAGUAUAGCUCUUCAUCGGUGUCAUCGAUCUCAUCGUCGGAAUCACGGCUAUUGAGAGGGGACAAUCACCGGCAAACAAGGAAGAACACAAUCAAUGCAAUGCACAAUAUGAUGCAUGAUCAUGACAUGGCAAUAUGACGUGAUUUGGCCUAAUGCAAUUAGCAACAGAAAGGUUUGGGUUGAUUUGAACUCAAGGUUCAAAUUCAAAUUCAAACUAUGAAUUCAAAUAGUGCAUUAUCAUGUUUUCACCUAUACAGCAGGUAUAACUUAGUUUGACAUGCAUGGAAAUGAUACAGAUGGAUAGAUUGCAUUUUUCUGAUCAUUUUUCAUAUAUUAAUUAUUUCAUUCUGAGCUACGGUUGAUUUUAUAUGAUUUUGAGAAGUUUAUACUAUUUUCUAGAAUUUCCUGAUUAAAAAUAAAUCCAGAAAAUGUAAUACUGCAUCAGCCUGACGUCAUCACUGCGUCAGCGAGUCAACGGGCUGGCCAGGGUCAAACCUGACCCGUGGGACCUGCCUGUCAGUCUCUCAGUGCCUAAUUAAGUUUAGGUUUUAAACUAAACUAACUUUUAACAGGGGCUGGCCCCACACGUCAGUGGGUCAGGGGGGAAGUCAAACCCCGGUCAAGCAGGGUCAAACCCGCCGGACUUGGUCCACGGCUCGUCGCCUGUGAAACCCGGGACGGCGGAGGGGCUCGGGAUUUGCCCACGGUCGACCAAAUCGACCGCGGUUUGGUCCUACGCGUAGCUGGGGCUCGCGCGCAUCUAGUAGGCCAAGCGGGAGGAGCUGGGGUGGUCUAAGUCGACGGCGGCGAGCACGAAUGCGGCGGCCGGAGUUCGGGCGUCGGUGGUUUUGCUGCUGUAGCGUGCUAGUGGGUGAAUGGAUGCACUAGCGAGACGCUACGAGGUGCGGUGAGUGUGUUAGGCACCGCGCGGGACCAAAUGGUCACCGGAGUGAUGCUGGCGUCGAGCUCGCGCGGCGGCGUGCUACGGUGAGCAAGGGGGCGGCGUCUACAAUGAGCAAACGGAGCAGAGAGGAGGGGGGUUCGACGCAGGGGCUCACAGUGAGUGCAGAGGUGGCCUCGGCGUGCUCGGGGAAGCACCGGAGCGAGCGGGGCGGCGAGAGGGAUCUCCGGCGUUGGGAGGUUGAAGACGACGACGUGGAGGCACUCGGGGGCGUCCGGCGUUGCACAGCUCGACGAGGAGGAAGAGGGAUACUAGGCGGAGCUCUUGGGCAUCUCAGGGCGUCGCCGGGAUGGCGGUGUCCGCGGUGGUGGCGAGCGGCGGCGACGGAGGCGUUCGGGCGGGAAGAACAGAGGAGGGGGAGAGCGUUCGGGGGAGAGGUCGAGGCGUCGAGGGGGUGUCGUGGCGCCGUCUAGGUGCAAUGGGGAGGAGCCAGGCAGGCUGGGAGGGAGGAGGUGGCCGCGGCGUGUAGCUGCGCGCGUCGGGCACGCGCCCUCGCCUACUGGCGCGAGGAAGGCGACAGGAGAGCGCCUGGUGGGCUGGGCCGCCAGCUGGGCCGGCCAGGUGGCUGUGGUGGGUGCCACGUAGGUAUCUCCUCUCUCUGCUUUCUGUUUUUCUAAUUUGUUUCUGUUUUCUAAUUAUUUGCCUCUGUUUUGGGCUUAGGAAAAAUACCAAGGCAUUUCCUAAAAUCCUGAAAAUAUUCAUGGACACUUGCUGAAUUAUUUCAGUGGCCCAAAAAUAGUUCCAACAUUAUUUGAACAUUUAAAUUAUUUAUAGCAUUUAAAUGCCCAAAAUUCAAAUACAAUAAGAUUUAAUUCAAAAAUCCAGGAUGGCCUAGAAAUAGGUGCAUCAUUUUUGGCAGAGGUUUUCACCUUUAACAAAAAUCAUGAACUUUUCUAAAGGGCAUUUGGGUUCAUUGAAAAUAUUGUUUACUUGAACCUAGUUGAAUGCAUUUGGUGCUAGGGUUUCAACAUCCCCAUUUCAAGUUUCUUUGAAAAUUAAACAUGAUGACAUGAGGAACAAGCAAAAGUCAAACAAGGGCUGAUCUGGGGCUGUGACAGUGAGGCCGCAAAGUGAUAUGAGGUGUUACAUGCUAGAUCGGUGUGACUUAGAAUCGGGGUCCCGACAUUCUGCUUCUUUGAGAAUGGAUCCUUUGGCUUGGGCUGAGGAGUGUCAGUCAAUUGCAUUAUCACCUCAGGAAUCGCAAUCUCAGGUUCUUCAGGCUGAGGAAUUUCAGCUUCUACUCCAGUGACAGCCUGGGUCUUCAAUUCUUCAUGUACAUUUUCUUCAGCACUAGUGGCUGGAAUUUCUUCAUGGAUAGAUGGGGUUGCACGAGGUUCUUCAGAUCCCAUUUGUACUUCAGUAGCAACAGGGGACUGAGGAAUUUGCUGUAAAGGUGUGAAGAGUGGAGAGUUGGGGUGCUGACUUUCCCAAAAGUCAUCAUUCAUCACUGGUGUGGUACAGCCAAUGUCCACGUCUUCAUCUUCUAUUUCUUCAAUGCCGGCCUCUUCAGCAGUAAACUGAGGCAUAGGCGAGGAAACAACUGGAGUUGAAGGGAUUUCAUCCACUUCAAUUUCUUCGUCCAUCUGCUCUGACGAAGCAGCAGAAGGAUUUUCUUCAUCAGAUCCGCUAGGGAUCAAAUAUUCUUCAUCAAAAGGAACAAGGUCCUUUGAUGGCAUGGUUGAGAUCGGAACAGCAUCAAUGGGGUUUGCAACUGAGCUGGUCAAUUUCUUCAUCUUCUUCGGAGCUGAAGAAUCUGAUGAAGCUGAUGCUUUCCUUUUCUUCACUGCUGCACGCUCUGCAGCCUUGGUCUUCUUCACAUCUGAUGCAGAUGGAAGAAUUGGAGUUGGGGUAGGCGCAGGAGGAGCAGAGGAAUGUGGUUGGUUUUCUUCAGGCACAACUGAUGCAGUUGCCCUGACCUCUUCAUUUUCUUCAGGCGCACCACUAGUGGAUGCCCUGGCAAUUUCAUCAGCGGCAGGAAUGCAGUCAUCAGCCCUAGACCUCACAUUUUCUUCAGCAUCCUGAAUGUCAUCAGCGGUGCUGGCAUGUUCUUCAGUUGGCUGAGCAGAUGCUUCAGUCUGAGGAAUUUCUUGUUGCGAUGGGGCUGCAACAUUGGAGGUGAACUUCUCAGUCAGUUUAACAAACCUGACCUUGGCUCCUUGCCAAUCAGCAAAGUAAGCAUUGAAAUCAUCGCUGAGGACUUUGAUUUCAGACUGGAUCUUCACAAGAUCAUCAGUUGUCAUAGAGACAACGUUGUUCUUCAGGAAUUUCUCCUUCCCGUACUGCGCUUUCUUGAUCUGCCUGGCCUUCUCAAAUUUCCAUUUCUCUUCUUGGAUGAAGGCAGUCAGCAUAUGAUUUUGGCCAGGAGUCAGCUUGAAGUCAGGCAUAGGAGUGUUUGGGUCCUUGUGCCAGAGAUCAAUGUAAUUGAGGACCAACUUUGGAUCCAAAAGCAGAGGCACAUUUGUGCCCUUGGCUCUAGCGGCCCUGACUUGCCUAUCUCUGAUGAUUUCAGCAAGUUCUUCAUCAUCAGCUUCGUCUUCUUCAGACGGCACUUGGAAGGCGACCUGCUUCUUGUGAGGACUUGGGCGAGAACCUCGUCCAGCAGUGGUCUUUGUCUUCAGCAGAGAGGGUCCUGUUGAAGAAUUUGGAGCAGCCGAGGAACUAGCUGAAGCUCCUGAGGCAAUAAAGAUCCCUGUAGUCCUUUGGCACGUGGCAAGAUGCACAGGUGCUGAGAAUUUGGUCGGAGCAGCUGAGGACUUAUGCGGAGGAGCUGAGGAUUUUGGAGGAGCAGGAGCAGCGUGAGGAAUUGGCCGUGAGGGCUUUGAGGAUUCUGGCCGUGAGGGCAUUGAAGGUGAAGCAAUUGGCUUACGCGCAGGCUUCUUUGCCAUGGAUUUCUUCGGUUUGACAGAGGCCUCAGCGGCAGCAGCAGCAGGAGAGUCUUCAUUGAAUUUCCUCACUGCUUCUCUGGCUUGUCUAGCCAGCUUGGCCUGGCGCUUGGCCCAUUCAUCAGGAUAAUCCUCACCACGCUUGAGGCUGGUGGGAUCAACUUCUUGGCCAGGUGCCAACGGAGGUCUUGGGCAUGGAGGAUUGAGUGCGAAUUUCUUCAUGUACUUGGGAGUCACAUACAUGUACUCCCUCCACUCUCUUGCCCAUCUCCUCUCUAUCUUCUGAAUGCGCACCUUGCGCUGAUUUUUAUCUUCCUCAGGGGGUGUGCAGUACCCAGCAUAGAUGUCCUCAGGGAUUUCAAAUGCAGUGUUGACCUCAGGCCUCUUUCCUCCUUUCUGUGGCUUCUUUCCAUCAACCAUUUUCUUCAGAUGAGGAAUUUGAACAAUUGAAUUCUCUGAAGAAGUAUGCAACUUUUCUUCGAGGAACGCUACAAAUGAGUUAAGUUGAUGAGAACCUAGAGAUUCAACAGCGGACAUGAGUACCUGUGAACAGAGUAUAGUUGCGAGGAAUUUGGAGAGGUCAUAUGCGUUCUCAAAAGGUUUUUCAAAAAGAACAAGUUUUAGGAAUUUGACCAGAUGAGUCUUGAAGAAUUUCACUAAGCGUUCUUUGUCUUAGGUUCCAGAGUUGCAUAGAUCGAAGAUCCACACAAUUGAGGAAUCUUGAAGAAAAAUUAUUGCUUAGAGAAAUGAAUCAAGAACAGAUGACAUGUGAGGUGUUUAGUGUGUGAAGAAUUUGAAGAAUAAACACCUUUGAAGAUUUUGUAGAAAUCAUUUGAAUCAAAGAGGGCAGUAAAAGUAACUUUUAAUUACCCUGGACAAAGAACACGACGAACUGUGAGGUAGAGAUGAGAAGUUCGUCUGUGCAGAUCUUCCACGCCCUAACUCGGCGGAGGAAGACGGCUACGGGCGGCGGCGGAGUGAAGAUUUCCGCGGUCGGCGCGAGUACGGCGGCGACGAGGUCGAGGCAGUGAAGCUCUUCCUCACCGGCGACGAUGAAGUAGCGGCGGUGCUAGGGUUUGAGAAGCUCGAGCUGGAGAGAGGUCGAGCGGAGUAAAGGAAGGGAGGAAGGGGAGAUGGGGUAUUUAUAGCCACGGUGAAAAACUGUUCGCCCGAAGAUUUUGGACGAACGUGCCCCUGACCCUUCUCAUUCGCUUGACAUGUGUCACCCACGUACUGAGAAGUGGAGAUCGUGUUAGAUCGUGGGUGAAUAGAUAAGUAUUUCAUGGGAUGCGGAACGGUUUGAGCGGCAAAGCCGAAAAUUUGGAUAAGAUAAGUUAAAAGUUCCGUUCGCAAAUUCUUCAGCUGACAAGGACACAGUGAAGAUUUUGAACGAGUUUCAAAUAGAACGCACAUGAAGAAUUUGUGAAUAGAUUGGGUUGAGUAUAGCAUAGAGGGCGAAGGGUCCGAUCACAUUCACUUAGCAGGAAAACCAACUUGAAGAGUUAGCCAUAAGUGAAUGUUGCAGAGUAUAUAUAUAUAUAUAUAGCCAAUGAAGAAAAACGACGGAAACAGUGAAGACAAUGCAAAGUUGAAGAAAAUGAACAACUGAGGAAAGACUUGAAUUGAAGAUUUUCAACUUUUGGUGGUGGCGUGACCCACCGUAUAAGAAUGAUGAUUUUAGACACCGCGUACAAUUGUCGUAGGGUUCUGAGAAUCAAAUUCUUCGUUAAUUUCUUCACACUUAGAGUGUUAUUCUUCAUUGAUUGAAGAAAAACGUUUCUUCAUGUGUUGCGCAUCUAAGUCAUCAAUUUUGCAUAAGUGUUAGGAUGAGUGUCCUUUUCAAAGAACAUUCGAAGAUUCUAAGAUAUUUAGCUCACACUGCAACUUGCUAAAUCUCUUCUCAUCCAAGGGCUUUGUGAAGAUAUCGGCUAGCUGUUCUUCAGUCUUCACAUGCUCAAUAGAAAUGUCACCCUUCAACACAUGAUCAAGAAGAAAAUGAUGACGAAUCUGAAUGUGCUUUGUCUUCGAGUGCUGAACUGGGUUGUGAGAAAUCUUGAUGGCACUCUCAUUGUCACAGUAGAGAGGCACAUUCUUCAUGUUGACGCCGUAGUCCUUGAGAGUUUGCUUCAUCCACAGCAAUUGAGCACAGCAAGAACCAGCAGCAAUGUACUCAGCUUCAGCAGUAGACAGUGAUACGCAGUUUUGUUUCUUUGAGGACCAACAGACCAAAGAUCGUCCGAGGAAAUGACAUGUACUAGAUGUUGUCUUGCGGUCCACACGAUCACCAGCAUAGUCAGAGCCAGAAUAUCCAAUGAGAUCAAAAGCCGAGCCCUUGGGGUACCAUAAUCCAUGUGUUGGUUUGUGAGCUAGAUAUUGAAGAAUAUGCUUCACAGCCUUAUGGUGUGAUUCCUUCGGUGUAGCUUGAAAUCGGGCACACAUGCAAACACUAAGCAUAAUAUCUGGCCUAGAUGCACAUAAAUACAAUAAAGAACCAAUCAUGGAGCGGUAUACCUUUUGAUCGAAGUCAAUACCAUUUUCAUCAGUGCACAGAUGGCCAUUUGUGGGCAUCAGAAUUUUGACGCCUUUGCAAUCUUGCAUGCCGAAUUUCCUCAGUACAUCCUUGAGGUAUUUCUCCUCAGAUAUGAAUAUGCCAUUGCGCUGUUGACGAAUUUGAAGACCUAAGAAGAAUUUUGAUUCUCCCAUCAUAGACAUUUGAUAUUCUUCACUCAUCAUAUAGGAAAAUUCAUCACUAUAAUGUUGGUCAGUACAGCCAAAGAUAAUAUCAUCAACAUAUAUUUGGCACACAUACAAUUCACCAUCAUAAGAUUUAGUGAAAAGAGUAGGGUCGAGUGAACCGGGUUUGAAGCCUUUCUUCAUGAGGAAUUCCUUCAAAGUAUCAUACCAUGCCCGAGGGGCCUGCUUGAGGCCAUAGAGGGCCUUAUUGAGUCUGAAGACUUUGUCAGGAUGCUUUGGAUCUUCAAAACCUGGGGGUUGAGCAACAUAUACUUCUUCCUCAAGCUUACCAUUAAGGAAUGCACUUUUCACAUCCAUUUGAUAUAAAGUGAUAUCAUGAUGGUUAGCAUAAGCAAGUAAUAUGCAAAUAGCUUCAAGUCUAGCAACAGGUGCAAAAGUUUCAUCGAAAUCAAUUCCUUCAACCUGUGUGUAGCCUUGAGCUACAAGCCGUGCCUUAUUCCUCACCACAAGGACAUUUUCAUCUUGCUUGUUGCGGUAGAUCCACUUUGUGCCAAUGAUAUUGUGCUUGCGAGGAUCUGGACGUUUAACCAGUUCCCAGACGUUGUUGAGCUCGAAUUGAUGUAAUUCUUCUUGCAUGGCCUGAAUCCACUCAGGCUCCAGAAAUGCUUCAUCUACCUUAGUGGGCUCUGUGAUAGAGACAAAAGCAUAGUGCCCACAAAAGUUAGAUAAAUGUGAAGCUUUUGAGCGUGUGAGAGGACCUGGUGUGUCAUCGAUGAUCUUUUCAACUUGCACUUCUUUUGCAACACGAGGAUGAGCUGGUUGUCGUCGAGGAAUUUGAUAAGCAUUUUCUUCAGCACCAUUUUCUUCAGCAUUUUCUUCAGGUGCAUUAGCUCGACGUUCUUCACGUUCUGGAAUGAAUUCUUCAGCAGAUUCUUCGGUAGGAAUGACCUCUGUAGCCUUGAACUUGAUAGUUUCCUCAGGUGCUGGUUCAUCUAUCACAGAGGGUAGGUGCUCUCUUUGCGAGCCAUUAGUUUCAUCGAACCGCACAUCUACAGUUUCAACAACCUUGUGAAGAACGUUGUUGAAGACUCUGUAGGUGUGCGAGUCCUUUCCGUAACCAAGCAUAAAACCUUCAUGUGCUUUUGGUGCAAAUUUAGCAUUGUGAUGAGGAUCUCUAAUCCAACAUUUAGCACUGAAGACUUUGAAAUAACUCACAUUGGGUUUCUUGUCAGUGAGGAGUUCAUAGGCAGUCUUCUUGAAGAAUUUGUGAAGAUAUACCCUGUUGAUGAUGUGGCACGCAGUAUAAAUUGCCUCAAUCCAGAAGUGACGAGGCGUCUUGGACUCAUCAAGCAUAGUGCGAGCCAUCUCAAUAAGAGUUCUGUUCUUGCGCUCCACGACGCCAUUCUGCUGAGGAGUGUAAGGAGCAGAUAACUCAUGAGUAAUACCAAGUUCAUCAAGAUAGUCAUCAAGACCAGAAUUCUUGAACUCAGUUCCAUUGUCACUUCUGAUGUGCUUGAUUUUCACACCGAAGUUGGUUGAAGCCCUCGAGGAAAAUCGUUUGAAGACUUCCUGCACUUCAUGUUUGUAAGUGACAAUAUGUACCCAAGUGUAACGAGAGUGAUCAUCAACAAUAACAAAGCCAUAGAGAGAUGCAUCAUUUGUGACUGCUGAGUAAUGGUUAGGACCGAAGAGAUCCAUAUGAAGCAAUUCAAAUGGUCGAGUAGUGGUGAUGAUAGUCUUUGCUGGAUGCUUAGCCUUGGUCAUCUUUCCAGCUUCACAGGCUCCGCAUAAGUGAUCCUUGAGGAAUUUGACAUUCUCAAUGCCAAUGGCAUGCUUCUUCUUUGCAAGCGUGUGCAAAUUCCUCAUGUCUGCAUGACCAAGUCGUCGAUGCCAUAGCCAGCCUUCUGAAGCUUUUGCAAGUAGGCACACGGCUGGUUGCGGUCCUAUAGAUAAAUCAACAAUAUACAAGUCUCCUCUCCUAAAGCCUUCGAAGACUUUGGAAUUGUCAGCUUCCAUAACCACAACACAACGAUACUUGUCAAAGACAACAACCAUAUCAAGAUCACAAAGCAUUGAGACAUACAUGAGGUUGUAUCCUAAGGACUCGACAAGCAUGACUUUGUCCAUGUGUCGAUCCUUUGUGAUCGCAACCUUACCUAGACCCAAUACCUGACUUUUGCCUUUGUCAGCGAAGAUGAUAUGCUUCAGAUGCGAUGGUGAUAAGGGAGCAUCCAUCAAUAGAUUCUUGUCACCAGUCAUGUGAUUUGUACAUCCACUAUCGAGGACCCACUCAGUGGCUUUGGGUUGAUCAUCCUGUAGAUGAAUUAGUGCAGCUUACGAACUUCAUAUACUUCAUCAGUGAAGAAUAUGACAUCACAAUUCAUCAGGCCAAUUUCAUCAAGCAAUGCAACAGUUAAAACAGUAUGAGGACGUGAGAAAUGAAAGUUCAUUUCUUCAUGAUUAGCCUGCGUCCUUUCAGGCACUUUUCACGUCUCCAACAAAUUCUUCAGACGUUUGAGCACGUCUGGAGACCUGACCCUGCAUAAGAGAUUAGUCCUUUUUCUUCACCACCCACAUCUGAAGGGGUGGCAAAGAGUUCAUCACUCUGCGAGCUCCAUACGAGAAAGGUGGCAUAGAAGCCAAUCCAUUUCGUUUCACAUAAGAGGAGUUAGGGUAAGCAUAUGAAUAAGCAGAGAAAUUCUUCGAGGACUUAUGAACAUAAUGAUUAGAAGAAUAAUGCUCAUAUUCAUAGCCCUUAGCUCUUCCCUGCGAAACAGAGUUGUUAGCACGAUGAUGUUCAUAUGAGGACUUUGAUCCUUUUGAGGAAUAUGAUCCACGUGAGGAAUUCGAUCCGUAUGAGGACUUGGAUCCAAAUGAAGAAUUUGGUCCACAUGAAGAAUUUGAUCUGGGGUUCCUAUUCUUCACAGGUGGUGUCAUGAGGACAUUCACCUGAAGACUUUCAAGGCACCUUUUGGGAACCCAGAUUUUCUUCAUAGGAGAACCGUUCCUACAGUUAGUGCCAACAUAUCUAGCAAAUACUUCACCAUUCUGAUUUUUAAACAGUUUAUAGUUGGAGUCAAAUGACUCAUCAGAAGAAUGAGAAGAUUCACAUGUAAAGCCAGAUAAAUUAGAUGGAUCAACUGGAGGUCCCUUUGCAGCAACCCAUGAGGUUUUGGGGUACUGCUCAGGCUUCCAAUAUGUACCAUCAGCAUUGAGUUUCCUCUCAAAGGCAAUACCCUCUUUCCUAGGGUUCCUGUUGAGGAUCUGCUUUUUAAGCACAUCACAAAGAGUCUGAUGCCCUUUGAGGCUUUUGUACAUGCCUGUCAUGUACAAUUCCUUCAGCCCUGCAUCAUCAGUGAUACUAGCAAUGUCCUCAGAUGAGGAAUUAGUGAUAGCAGAGACAGUUGAAGAAUUUGUAGCAUUAGAAGCAUUUGAACAUUCAGGUGAAGAUUUAGCAGAUUCACGUUCAAUGCAUUUCAAACAUGGAGGAACAAAUUCUUCCUGAGCAGCGCUGAUUUGUUGAGCAAGUAAUGAAUCGCGCUCCUUCUGAAGAUCUUCAUAACUCACUCUUAGCUUCUCAAGAUCUUGCUUUCUUUGAAGAAAUUCAUAAGAAAGCUUCUCAUGAUCAGAUAAGAGAGUGUUAUGAUGACCUUGAAGGUUGUCAAAUCUAGACUGAAAUCUCUGAAGAUUUUCAGUCAAGGUUUUAGUGCGAUCCAUUUCUUCACCCAACAUAUCAUCACUUUUUAUCUAGCAUGUUUUGAAACUUUUCCAAGGCCUUUUGUUGUUUAGUGGCAAUACAAACAAGCUUGGUAUAGCUAGGUCCAAAAUCAUCAUCGGAUUCAUCAUCACUAGACUCGGAUGAGGAACAUUCGGUUACCUUGGCACCUUUUGCCAUGAGGCAUGGUGGAGAAGAUGAUAGUUCAGGUUCGAAAGUCAUCGUUUUGAGUGAUUCCUUGAAAUCCUCAAACCAGGGAUCAUGACAAGUUCGAUGACCUUCAUAGACGUCAGAGAUUCGGUCCCAGAUAAGCUUCACAUUGCAAAGAUGCAUAAUGCGCCUGAAUUCAUCUCUGGAUAGGCAGGAACAGAUGAUAUCCUUCGCCAUGAUGUCAAGUCGAGUGUACUUGCGAAUAUCAUCAGUGUCCGCCAUCUUGCAUAGAUCGGUAAGACCAAUCUCAGUGACGGUCCACAGCUCGCUGUUCAGUGCCAUGAGGCGCUUGCUCAUCAUGGCCUUCCACUUGGGAUAAUCAUGACCGUCAAAGAUGGGGCAUGUCACUUUCUUCAUACCUGCGGUCGACAUAACUAAAACUCCAGGCGGUUAAACCAAAAUCACACAGAACAAGGGAGUACCUUGCUAUGAUACCAAUUGAAAGUGCAUUAUAUCGAGUAGAGGGGGGGUGAAUAGGUGAUUUUUAUGAAUUCUUCACUGAGGAAUUUGCGGGUGAGGAAUUCCUUAGCGAAGAACUACUUGCAGCGGAAUAAGUACUCAAGAGUAAGCAUAGCAGAACAUAGGCAUGGUCAUCAUGAUGAAAUGAAGACAAACACAGAGUACAGAAAGCGUAAACACAGGAUAGCACAGGAUGAAGACAAACAGACUGAAGAAAUUGAACUGAGGAAAUUGAGAAAGUCUUCUGUCAAAGUCUUCAAACACAGAUAUGACAAGCACACAACACAGUAAUGAGGAAAUGAAAGAGUUGAGGAAAUAGAACCAGUAAGCUUGGUGAAGACAAUGAUUUGGUAGACCAGUUCCAACUACUGUCUCAGCUGUACAUCUGGUUGGAGCGGCUAGGUAUUUAAACCUGAGGACACACAGUCCCGGACACACAGUCCUCACUGUAUUCUCCUUGAACUAAGGUCACACAGACCUUGUCCAAUCACUCGUGGUAAGUCUUCAGGUGACUUCCGAACCUUCACAAACUCGGUCACUCGGCGAUCCACAAUUCCUCUUGGAUGCUCUAGACCAUGACGCCUAACCGUCUGGAAGAAGCACAGUCUUCAAAGAUAACAAGCGUCGGAUCCACGCAGGAUCAAUUUCUUCAGUGAUGCUCAAUCACUUUGGGUUUGUAGGUGUUUGGGUUUGGGUUUUCCUCACUUGAUGAUUUUCGCUCAAAGUCCUCGGAGGAUGGGAUGCUCUCAAAUGACAAAUGUCAGUUUCUCUCGGAGCAGCCAACCAGCUAGUGGUUGUACGGGGCGACUAUUUAUAGCCUAGGGAGCAGCCCGACAUGAUAAGACAUAAAUGCCCUUCAAUGAUAUGACCGUUAGGUGGGUAGAUAUUUUGGGACAGCUGGCGCAUAGCACAGCAAUGGUAGGAAAUUUCAGUAUCAAAUUCCUCAGGGCUAUCAUGUUCCUCACUGUGUAGGCAAUCCGCACUGGCGAAUUCCUAACUCCUCAGUCAGAACAAAUUCCUCAGAGACCAGAAGAACUUCGUCUCUGUAACUGAAGAAUAUGACUGAACUGUAUGAGAUUUCCAAUGGCUUCACUCGAAGGGAUUGGUAGGUGUAGGAUUUUGAGUUGAGCAUCAUAUGGAAAUUUUUCCUUAGUAUUUCCUCGACCCCCUUUAACAGUACGGUGUUUCCAAUGACUCAAGAAAGAGAAAAUGAAACUACGAAAACAAAAGUCUGCACGGUUCAUAUUCCUCAAAUGAAUACCAAGUCUUCAAGGUCACACCAAUUUCUUCACUUUCAAAGUCUUCAGAAAGUCUUCAGAAAUCCAUAGUCUCUAGUCGAAGAACUUCAUUUUUAGGGGUCGACUUUCUCUGUAAAUAUCAAACUCCUCAUAGACUUAUAGACCUGUGUACACUCAUAAACACAUUAAUCCCUUAACCUAUAAGUCUUCAAUACACCAAAAUCACUAAGGGGCACUAGAUGCACUUACAUCUAUCUUAGGGUAACGAGAGUCGAGGCGAACGUUGUCGCGAUAGCGACUACGGAAGCCCAGACGAGCACGCGACACCACUGCCACCCUGUCUUAGGGUAAUGCAAGUCGAGGCGGACGUCGUCGCAUUAGCGAUGCCGGGACACCGAGAUGAGCACGUGGCACCAAGGCCACCCUGUCUAUCUUACGGUAACGCGAGUCGAGGCGGACGUCGUCGUGGUAGCGACGACGGACGCCGCGACUAGCAUGUGACACCACUGCCACCCUUUCUAUCUGAGGGAAACGCGAGUCGACGUGGACGUCGUCGCGGUAGUGACAACGGACGCCGAGACGAGCACGUGACACCAUUGCCACCCUGUCUAUCUUAGGGUAACACUAGUCGAGGGGACGUCGCCGCGGUAGCGGCGACGGACGCCGAGACGAGCACGUGAUACCACUACCACCCUGUCUGUCUUAGGGUAAUGCGAGUCAAGGGGGACGUCGUUGCGGUAGCUACGACAGACGCCAAGACGAGCACGUGACACCACUGUCACCCUGUGUAUCUUAGGGUAACGCGGGUCGAGGCGGACAUCGUCGUGGUAGCGACGACGCAUGUCAAGACGAGCACGUGACACCAGUUCCACCCUGUCUUAGGGUAACGCAAGAGUCGAGGUGGAUGUCGUCGCGCUAGCGACGACGGACGCCGAGACGAGGACAUGAUGCCAGGACCACCCUGUCUAUAUUAGGGUAACGCGAGUCGAGGCAGACAUCGUCGCGGCAGUGACGACAGACGACGAGACGAGCACGUGACACCACAGCCAUCCUGUCUAUCUUAAGGUAACGCGAGUCGAGGCGGACGUCGUCGCGGUAGCGACGACGGACGCCGAGACCAGCACGUGACCCCACUACCAACAUGUCUAUAUUAGGGCAACGCGACUCGACACGGACGUCGUCUCGGUAGCGACGACGGACGCCGAGGCAAGCACGUGACACCACUGCCACCCUGCCUAUCUUAGGGUAACGCGAGUCGUGGCGGAUGUCGUCGUGGUAGCGACGACGGACACCGAGACUAGCACGUGACACCACUGCCACCCUGUCUUAGGGUAACGCGAGUCGAUGCGGAUGUCGUCGCGGUAGCAACGAUGGACGCCUAGACGAGCAUGUGACACCACUGCCACCCUCUCUUAGGGUAACGCGAGUAGAGGCGGAGGUCGUCGCGGAAGCAGCGACGGACGCGGAGGCGAGAACGUGACACCACUGCCACCCUGUCUUAGCGGAACGCGAGUCGAGGCGAACGUCGUCGCGAUAGCGACGACAGACGCCAAGACGAGCACGUGACACCACUGCCACCCUGUCUUAGGGUAACACGAGUCGAGGCGGACGUCGUCGCGUUAGCAACGAAGGACGCCGUGACGAGCACGUGACACCAGGGCCACCCUGUCUAUCUUAGGGUAACGGGAGUCGAUGCAGAAGUCGUCGCCGUAGCGAUGACGGACGCUGAGACGAGCACGUGACACCACUACCACCCUAUCUAUCAUCGGGUAACGCGAGUCGAGGCAAACGUCGUCGCGGUAGCGACGACAGACGCCAAGACGAGCACUUGACACCCUGGCCACCCUGUCUAUCUUAGUGUAACGCGAGUCGAGGCGAACGUCAUCGCAGUAGCGAGGACGGACGCCGAGACGAGCACGUGACACUACUGCCACCCUCUCUUAAAAGUCGAGGCGGACGUCGUCUAGCUUGUCACGUCAAAUUGACACAAAAAAUGUUCAUUUAAAAAAAAAUAUCAGAUAUUUCGGAAAAUGUUCUUGUUUUUAAGGAAAUUUCAGGAAUUCAAAAGUUGUUUAGUUCUAUAAAUAUGUUCUUGAUUUGAAUUUUUCUCAUUAAUUUUAAAAUAUGUUCAUAGUAGAUCAAUUUAAUGAACAUUUCGAUUCAACCAAAAAGAUGUAGAUCAAUUUAAUUCAGCAUGUUAAUUUUUGUUUAAUAAAAUUAUGUUCAUGGAAAGUAUUAAUCGAAAGGGAAUAGAGGAAUAGGCGAAUUUAUUUUUUUUCUGUGUAAAAGUAGCUAUUCAUUUUAGUUGAAAGUGCUAGUUCAUUUCAAUUAAAAGUGGGAUUUCCGGCCCAUUAGUGUCCGUGAAAAACUGCUGGCCCAGAAAGGGAAUAGGAAAACACAGGCCCAAAAGGAAAAAACGUGGAAAGGGAAUAGAGGCUAGGUGAGGUAUUGGGCCAAGGCUGGGCCGAACUCACAAAAAGUGGAGCUCUCAAGGCCGGAAUUGAUCACGAAAGGGAAUAGAAUGGGCGCAACCGUUCGCUAACUUUGUCGUUUGUUGUCGCAUCGAUCUGGUGCGAAAUGAGAGCUCCUAUGUGUCGCAUUUUACGGCAAAUUGCCACCAUAUCGCACAGGGGCGCCACCGAGUGGGCCGGCCCAUUAGCAGCACUGCAGCGAGCCAAUAAACGCACUGUAGCUAAAAACUGAGCGGCAUCGACCUCGCGACCUCUGGCUAUUGAAUGACUCUCGCUAGCCACUUGAGCUGAUGGCCCGUUGGUUAUUGUUAUACACCGCGAAAUACUAAAAGCACUACUCGGAGGAGCUGAUCAAACUUGUACUGUAGCGACCGGACUGUGUACUGUUACGACAUGAACAAGGCAAGGUAGAGUUUUUUUUAGAAGCUCCAAAUCUUUCUUUGAAAAACGUGAACAUUUUUUCAAAACACAAAUAAAACUUCAAAUUUCAAACAUUUUUCAAAACAGAUAAAAAAAGUAGAAACCACAAAAGUAUUUUGAAUUUGUGAACAUUUCUCCGAGAAAGGGAACAUUUUUUAAAUUCCGAACAAAUUUUGAAAGCCUGAACAUUAUUUGAAACUCCCCGAACAAUUUUUGAAUUUGUGAACAAAUUUUGAAAACGAGAACAUUUUUUGAAAUUGUGAACAAAAUUUUGAAACCACAAACAUUUUUUGAAAUUGGAAGCAAUUUUAGAAUUUGUGACUUUUUUUCAAAAUGAGAACUUUUUUGAAAUUCUGAAUUAUAUUUCAAAUUUUCAAAAAAGUUUCAAUAGAAAAAUAAACUUAAAAAAGAAAAAGAGAAAAAUGAAAAAGAAAACAAAACAAUAUUCAAAAAUUCAUGAACGUUGUUUUGAAAAUAUUUAGAAAAGAAGCGAACAAUUUUUGAAAUUUCUGAACAAAAUUUGAAAACAGGAACAUUUAAAAAAAAUAAGGAUCAUGUUUUGAAAUUCCCAAACAAUUUUGAAAUGCAAACAUUUUUUGAAUGUAGAAACAAAAUUUGAAAACAGGAACAUUUUCCAAAAUUUGAACUUUGUUUAGGAACCUGAAUAUUUCUAGAAAAAGAAAAAUGAAAUUGAAUAAAAAGGAAACGGAAAAAGAAAAAAAGAAAAAGAAAAACCUGACCACAAAGAAAUAGAAAAACGAAAAGAAAAGAAAAAACCGUAGAAAAGAAAAAAACCCGGUUCAGGAAACCUUCUGGAAGGUUCCCAAAGACGGAUUGGGUAGUGCCAAUACGAUCUACUCAAAUGGGCCGGCCCCGUCGUGUCGAUCGGCCGAUCGCCUGUGCGUUGCCCCGGCAACUUGCCGCAACGAGCGACAAACAGGAAAUUCCGUGCGAAAAAUCGAGUGCGCCUCUUAGGACGCGCGCUAGCGACGCCGCAUUGGAGUUCUCUCUAUACGUAUACUUGCUAGCGUUGAUCAAGCACGGAAAUAAGCGAGCUCACUUCUCUCUAUUAGCUAGCUAACACAAUAUAUGAAACCCCCUCUCCCUUCUUUCAAAACAAAAACAAAACCCCUGCUCCUGCCAGCUGCUGACGCGUGGAUGCCUUUUGGUACCGGUUGGUGUUACCAACCGGGACAAAAGGUGCUCCAGCCUAGGCACCUCGCAGCGGCCACGUGGAGCCCCUUGCGAAUCGGGACUAAAGGUUUUGGGCUUUAGUCCCAACCCUUUAGUCCCGGUUCCAGAACCGGGGUAAGGGGCCUCUGAAACCGGGACAAAUGGGCCGGUUUCUAUGAGUCGAAGCUCCAUCCUCCUUUCUAGUCCUCUGUUCCUUUUGUCAUAUCAGCUUUCAUCCAUCUCCCAUACUGUUGCACCUCACCUCUCCCAAGUCCAAUAGAACACGCCUUGUCCACGUGUCCAAUUAUACCACACGUGUAACAAAAAUCAGGGAGGUACUCAUACUCUAGGGGGCACCAUUUUUGCUCAUCAUCUUUCUUCUUUCUUUUAUCCACGUCCAUCACUUCUGCAGACUCCUUGUCUUCUCCCGUUCAAUAUCCAAAGUGAUUCCUCUCAACAGUGGCUUUGUAAUGUCUAGUCUAACUUUCAGAACUUCCAGCCACAUUAUCAUCAUCCCCCUGGUUACCUCCAUGAACUCGCCAGUCUCGUCACCAAUGAUACCUCCGUUUUCAUCACUCAUGAAACCGAGCGGCAUCUUGGUCACCCUGACCCAAAUAAGGAUGAUAGUGAACUCAUACUCUCCUAGCGUUUUAGCUGGGUCGAAAUCUACCAUCACAAUCAGGUCCUUUCCCACCAUCCAUGGCCCUUCCUCCAAUGCUUUCCUCUUCCCCGCUGCUUGCAAGAAGGUGAAAAGAAAGGUGUUGUCCUCUAACCCCUUGCACUUGAUUCCCUUGAUCGGACACCACACUCUUCCGAGGUAUUUGAUCAUACCUUCCACAUAUACUGGUUUCUCGGACAUAACCUUACCGAUCGCCUGUGGAUCUUCCGUUCCCGUUCUCCUCAACCCGCCUCUUCCGAUCUUGACUCCCUUCUUCUCUGCUUCUGGCAACCGCAACUUCUGCAUCAAACCUUCCACUUUCUCCAUUGUGUCGAGGACUUGCAUCGAUCUAUGGUUUACUAGGUGGUUGUAUUAUGAAUGAAUGCCCUAGCAACACUCGUAAGGCUUUUGGUGGAUGGGUGAGCGGUCUCGAGAUCAAUCCAGCAAGGAUCGCCAAGGCUAGGGGGAGAGUUUGCUGGCGUAGGCCAGAGACGGGGUCGCCUGAGGGGACUCUAGGGUUUACCAGGAGUCACCGCAGAAUCCCCUGGGAAUCGCCCAAGCGCCAAUCGUGGAACCGUCACCCAAGGACGGACGGGUUAAGGAUGAUAAUUAAAGCGGACUUUGAUAGAGAGACACGUGAGAAAUAGAGUGAUAGAGAGAGAUACGUGAAAAUUAAAGCGGUUUUAAUUUCUUUCUUUUCUGUAAUUAAAGAGAUACGCAUGAGAAAUAGAGAGAUAAGAGAGAUACGUGAGAAUUAAAGCUGUUUUAAUUUUUUCCGUUUCUAUAAUUAAAGAUCUGAUCUACACAGUUAUAAUCUUGACCCGCAAAAUCAACGGCCUCCAUUUUCUAUUUUUCUCUAAUUAAUGUGGGAAUUUCUUGGGAGUGCCUAUUAGUAUAGGUAUAUAUAUGUGCAAAAAAUCUCGACAUUAAUGAACAUAUAUCUGGUGCACUUGCAAUCUUUUGUAGUACAUUAAUGAAUAUUUAAAGUAUUUUCCAACUCUUGCUAUUUAUAGACUUGUCAUCCGUGUCUGCCACAUUUGGAGUCCAACUAUUUCCUACUGGAACCUUACACUCCACUAGAACUGAGUUUGUCAAGUAACAGAUAACCAAUAUGAGAGGGAGCAGCCUAGUGCAGGGGACGAUGAUAUUCUUCAUUGGAUGCCUUGUGCUUUGUGCACAGUGUAAGUAUAUAUCAUCAUCGUCUUUAGAAUCUUGUGUUAACUUCUUGCCACUAAUUCUUCGGAUCAGACAUACAUACACACACACAUCUGCGGUACUGCAUACUAAGGUUAAAUAUACUAUACAGGUGCUCUCGAUAAUAAGCAAAGGAUGGUCAACCAAGAUGAUCAUGCGGCGAACACAAGUACCAACGCUACCAUCAUCAACUCAACAUCUGUAGGCGAGAGCAAGAAAACCGAGAAAUUUUGCAGCCUCUUUCUCGUAUGUUAUUUCAACAUUGAGAUUCGUGCUGAGUGCUACUGUUGCGAGAAUAAGAAUGCCGACUGUUACAAGACGAAGAGUGAGUGCCUGCAGAAGUGCCAUUCCUACAACGGUUAAUGCCCACCUUCAUCGCGGUCUCUGGGAUAGAAUUCCAUAUGCUCGGAAAAUUUGUCCGUAGGUAAUAAAAGGCACCUUAUAUGGUUUGGGCAAUUAGGUCCCAAUUAAACAUUAGAUAGCCGGCAUGUUUCCGUGGAGAUCCAACAAGGAAAAAUUUGAUGAAAGAAAUCCGAGUAACUAGUUGUCUUGCAUAUUUACAAAGUUCAAAUCCUUUGGUUGUUGUGCUUUGACUCGAUUGUCUAUUAUGCCAUUUCAUUUACUUGCACAUUGCCCACUUGUUCAUUUAACACACAUCACCCACUUGGUGAUUUGCCAGUUGUGGGCUGACAGCCAUAUAGAUUUAUUUUUUUGAGAUCUCGUCAUAUAGAAUUGUAAUAGCACUGACAUGGAAAAGGUUAAAAACUGAAAAACUGAAAAAAGUAAAUCAAACAAACAAAUGGUGUGCAAACUAAAUCAGACGGCACAAGACAAGUGAGAUUUAGUCAGGACUCUUUCAGAUGAAGAUAAGCAAAUUGCAAGAAAACAACAUGCAGAAACAAUUUUAUAUCAUAGCAUAACAUGCAAAAAAGCACAUAUAUAGUACAACGACAACCCACGUGUCUAUAUGCUAUCUAUAUGUAUAUCUAUCUAUCUAUAUCUAUCUAUCUAUCUAUCUAUCUAUCCUUACUAAUAAAAGACGGAUCAUUUAUGCCCAUCCGUCUCAUGUUUUGCAACAAAAUACCCUACUUUUUUCUUUAAUUAACCCGCGGUCAAGGUUUAGGUGAGGUUCGUCCGUUGUUUUUUUUGCAAAGAACGAGGAAACGGUUGCGUUUUGUGAGAUUCAAACUCAUGAUGUCCCCUCCAUGCCCAAAAGCCACAGCCAACUGAGUUAGCAUGCACUUGUGCUACCAAAUAGGUCCAUUAUUUCAUUAAAUUGUCCAUCCUUGAUUCUUUGCAUGAGAAUACACAAAUUUAUAUGUGAUUGCAAAUUGCCUGGAAAUCAACAAGCCAACUCGAUAACCAAGAAAUAGAGGGAGAGGAGGAAUUCACUCAAUAAAUAGUGUUAACUAGCAGGGUUUCCCGCGCAUUUGUGCGGCUAGCUGACCCUUUCCGAUGCCAACUAUAUGGCCUUUCACUAAACUAUAUUUUGAUUAAAUUUACACCUUGUAUAUGUCAUCAUAGAAAAAAUGAAAAUCGUAAUGAAACAUGCAAGUGCAUCAGGUUGUUCAUUUUAAUAUAGAAGUGCAUUAGGUUUUUAAAUAAAUUCCUUGGCAUGUCAGGUUGCAACACAGAUAAAAAACCAUGUAUGGGAUUUCAUGCCAAUCUUGGUGUUUUUCCUGUGUGAUCACUCCUCCUUUGUAUCAUUUAAUAGGUUUUCAAGAAAUUCCCUACCAAGACUUAAAUCUAAACAUGAAAUUCUGGUAUGUAAAGGUCCCUUCUUCUAGUCAUACCAAUCAACGGACGCAUUCUUAACUACCUUUUCUUGAUUAAUGCCGCCUACCCACUUAUGUAUCAAGAGAUUCACAUCUUCUAUCGUGCUUAUUUUUUCUAUUGAUAAUAUUUUACAAAAUAUUAUCUUUGACUCACUCCCUUUUAAUUUCUGAAGACUUUGAAAGUGAAGAAAUUGGUGUGACCUUGAAGACUUGGUAUUCAUUCGAGGAACAUGAAGCGUGAAGACUUUUGUUUUAGUAGUUUCAUUUUCUCUUUCUUGAGUCAUAGGAAACACUGUACUGUUAAAGGGGGUCGAGUAAAUACUAAGGAAAAAUUUCCAAGUGAUGCUCAACUUAAAAUCCUACACCUACCAAUCCCUUCGAGUGAAGCCAUUGGAAAUCUCAUGCAGUUCAGUCAGUUUCUUCAGUGACAGAGACGAAGUACUUCUGGUCUCUGAGGAAUUUGUUCUGCCUAAGGAGUUAGGAAUUCGCCAGUGCGGAUUGCCUACAAGUGAGGAACAUGAUAGCCCUGAGGAAUUAGACACUCGAAAUUCCGACCGUUGCUGUGCUAUGCGCCAGCUGUCCCAAAAUAUCUUACCCACCUAACGGUCAUAUCAUUGAAGGGCAUUUAUGUCUUAUCAUGUAGGGCUGCUCCCUAGGCUAUAAAUAGCCGCCCCCUACAACGACUAUCUGGUUGGCUGCUCCGAGAGAAACCGACACUUGUCAUUUGAGAACAUCCCAUCCUCCGAGGACUUUAAGCGAAAAUCAUCAAGUGAGGAAAACCCAAACCCAAACACCUAAAAACCCAAAGUGAUUGAGCAUCACUAAAGAGAUUGAUCCUGCGUGGAUCCGACACUUGUUACCUUUGAAGAAUGUGCAUCUUCCAGAUGGUUAGGCGUCAUGGUCUAGAGCAUCCAAGAGGAAAUUGUUGAUCGCCGAGUGACCGAGUUUGUGAAGGUUUGGAAGUCACCUGAAGACUUACCACGAGUGAUUGGGCGAGGCUGUGUGACCGUAGCGAUGACGGACGCUGAGACGAGCACGUGACACCACUACCACCCUAUCUAUCAUCGGGUAACGCGAGUCGAGGCAAACGUCGUCGCGGUAGCGACGACAGACGCCAAGACGAGCACUUGACACCCUGGCCACCCUGUCUAUCUUAGUGUAACGCGAGUCGAGGCGAACGUCAUCGCAGUAGCGAGGACGAACGACGAGACGAGCACGUGACACUACUACCACCCUCUCUUAAAAGUCGAGGCGGACGUCGUCUAGCUUGUCACGUCAAAUUGACACAAAAAAUGUUCAUUUAAAAAAAAUAUCAGAUAUUUCGGAAAAUGUUCUUGUUUUAAAGGAAAUUUCAGGAAUUCAAAAGUUGUUUAGUUCUAUAAAUAUGUUCUUGAUUUGAAUUUUUCUCAUUAAUUUUAAAACAUGUUCAUAGUAGAUCAAUUUAAUGAACAUUUCGAUUCAACCAAAAAGAUGUAGAUCAAUUUAAUUCAGCAUGUUAAUUUUUGUUUAAUAAAAUUAUGUUCAUGGAAAGUAUUAAUCGAAAGGGAAUAGAGGAAUAGGCGAAUUUAUUUUUUUCUGUGUAAAAGUAGCUAUUCAUUUUAGUUGAAAGUGCUAGUUCAUUUCAAUUAAAAGUGGGAUUUCCGGCCCAUUAGUGUCCGUGAAAAACCGCUGGCCCAGAAAGGGAAUAGGAAAACACAGGCCCAAAAGGAAAAAACGUGGAAAGGGAAUAGAGGCUAGGUGAGGUAUUGGGCCAAGGCUGGGCCGAACUCACAAAAAGUGGAGCUCUCAAGGCCGGAAUUGAUCACGAAAGGGAAUAGAAUGGGCGCAACCGUUCGCUAACUUUGUGGUUUGCUGUCGCAUCGAUCUGGUGCGAAAUGAGAGCUCCUAUGUGUCGCAUUUUACGGCAAAUUGCCACCAUAUCGCACAGGGGCGCCACCGAGUGGGCCGGCCCAUUAGCAGCACUGCAGCGAGCCAAUAAACGCACUGUAGCUAAAAACUGAGCGCCCCCGUGGAGGCAUCGACCUCGCGACCUCUGGCUAUUGAAUGACUCUCGCUAGCCACUUGAGCUGAUGGCCCGUUGGUUAUUGUUAUACACCGCGAAAUACUAAAAGCACUACUCGGAGGAGCUGAUCAAACAUGUACUGUAGCGACCGGACUGUGUACUGUUACGACAUGAACAAGGCAAGGUAGAGUUUUUUUUAGAAGCUCCAAAUCUUUCUUUGAAAAACGUGAACAUUUUUUAAAAACACAAAUAAAAAUUCAAAUUUCAAACAUUUUUCAAAACAGAUAAAAAAAGUAGAAACCACAAAAGUAUUUUGAAUUUGUGAACAUUUCUCCGAGAAAGGGAACAUUUUUUAAAUUCCGAACAAAUUUUGAAAGCCUGAACAUUAUUUGAAACUCCCCGAACAAUUUUUGAAUUUGUGAACAAAUUUUGAAAACGAGAACAUUUUUUGAAAUUGUGAACAAAAUUUUGAAACCACAAACAUUUUUUGAAAUUGGAAGCAAUUUUGGAAUUUGUGACUUUUUUUCAAAAUGAGAACUUUUUUGAAAUUCUGAAUUAUAUUUGAAAUUUUCAAAAAAGUUCGAAUAGAAAAAUAAACUUAAAAAAGAAAAAGAGAAAAAUGAAAAAGAAAACAAAACAAUAUUCAAAAAUUCAUGAACGUUGUUUUGAAAAUAUUUAGAAAAGAAGCGAACAAUUUUUGAAAUUUCUGAACAAAAUUUGAAAACAGGAACAUUUAAAAAAAAUAAGGAUCAUGUUUUGAAAUUCCCAAACAAUUUUAAAAUGCAAACAUUUUUUGAAUGUAGAAACAAAAUUUGAAAACAGGAACAUUUUCCAAAAUUUGAACUUUGUUUAGGAACCUGAAUAUUUCUAGAAAAAGAAAAAUGAAAUUGAAUAAAAAGGAAACGGAAAAAGAAAAACCUGACCACAAAGAAAUAGAAAAACGAAAAGAAAAGAAAAAACCGUAUAAAAGAAAAAAAAACCCGGUUCAGGAAACCUUCUGGAAGGUUCCCAAAGCCGGAUGGGGUAGUGCCAAUACGAUCUACUCAAAUGGGCCGGCCUAGUCGUGUCGAUCGGCCGAUCGCCUGUGCGUUGCCCCGGCAACUUGCCGCAACGAGCGACAAACAAGAAAUUCCGUGCGAAAAAUCAAGUGCGCCUCUUAGGACGCGCGCUAGCGACGCCGCAUUGGAGUUCUCUCUAUACGUAUACUUGCUAGCGUUGAUCAAGCACGGAAAUAAGCGAGCUCACUUCUCUCUAUUAGCUAGCUAACACAAUAUAUGAAACCCCCUCUCCCUUCUUUCAAAAAAAAACAAAACCCCUGCUCCUGCCAGCUGCUGACGCGUGGAUGCCUUUUGGUACCGGUUGGUGUUACCAACCGGGACAAAAGGUGCUCCAGCCUAGGCACCUCGCAGCGGCCACGUGGAGCCCGUUGCGAAUCGGGACUAAAGGUUUUGGGCUUUAGUCCCAACCCUUUAGUCCCGGUUCCAGAACCGGGGCUAAGGGGCCUCUGAAACCGGGACAAAUGGGCCGGUUUCUAUGAGUCGAAGCUCCAUCCUCCUUUCUGGUCCUCUGUUCCUUUUCUCAUAUCAGCUUUCAUCCAUCUCCCAUACUGUUGCACCUCACCUCUCCCAAGUCCAAUAGAACACGCCUUGUUCACGUGUCCAAUUAUACCACACGUGUAACAAAAAUCAGGGAGGUACUCAUACUCUAGGGGGCACCAUUUUUGCUCAUCAUCUUUCUUCUUUCUUUUAUCCACGUCCAUCACUUCUGCAGACUCAUUGUCUUCUCCCGUUCAAUAUCCAAAGUGAUUCCUCUCAACAGUGGCUUUGUAAUGUCUAGUCUAACUUUCAGAACUUCCAGCCACAUUAUCAUCAUCCCCCUGGUUACCUCCAUGAACUCGCCAGUCUCGUCACCAAUGAUACCUCCGUUUUCAUCACUCAUGAAACCGAGCGGCAUCUUGGUCACCCUGACCCAAAUAAGGAUGAUAGUGAACUCAUACUCUCCUAGCGUUUUAGCUGGGUCGAAAUCUACCAUCACAAUCAGGUCCUUGCCCACCAUCCAUGGCCCUUCCUCCAAUGCUUUCCUCUUCCCCGCUGCUUGCAAGAAGGUGAAAAGAAAGGUGUUGUCCUCUAACCCCUUGCACUUGAUUCCCUUGAUCGGACACCACACUCUUCCGAGGGAUUUGAUCAUACCUUCCAUAUAUACUGGUUUCUCGGACAUAACCUUACCGAUCGCCUGUGGAUCUUCCGUUCCCGUUCUCCUCAACCCGCCUCUUCCGAUCUUGACUCCCUUCUUCUCUGCUUCUGGCAACCGCAACUUCUGCAUCAAACCUUCCACUUUCUCCAUUGUGUCGAGGACUUGCAUCGAUCUAUGGUUUACUAGGUGGUUGUAUUAUGAAUGAAUGCCCUAGCAACACUCGUAAGGCUUUUGGUGGAUGGGUGAGCGGUCUCGAGAUCAAUCCAGCAAGGAUCGCCGAGGCUAGGGGGAGAGUUUGCUGGCGUAGGCCAGAGACGGGGUCGCCUGAGGGGACUCUAGGGUUUACCAGGAGUCACCGCAGAAUCCCCUGGGAAUCGCCCAAGCGCCAAUCGUGGAACCGUCACCCAAGGACGGACGGGUUAAGGAUGAUAAUUAAAGCGGACUUUGAUAGAGAGACACGUGAGAAAUAGAGUGAUAGAGAGAGAUACGUGAAAAUUAAAGCGGUUUUAAUUUCUUUCUUUUCUGUAAUUAAAGAGAUACGCAUGAGAAAUAGAGAGAUAAGAGAGAUACGUGAGAAUUAAAGCUGUUUUAAUUUUUUCCGUUUCUAUAAUUAAAGAUCUGAUCUACACAGUUAUAAUCUUGACCCGCAAAAUCAACGGCCUCCAUUUUCUAUUUUUCUCUAAUUAAUGUGGGAAUUUCUUGGGAGUGCCUAUUAGUAUAGGUAUAUAUAUGUGCAAAAAAUCUCGACAUUAAUGAACAUAUAUCUGGUGCACUUGCAAUCUUUUGUAGUACAUUAAUGAAUAUUUAAAGUAUUUUCCAACUCUUGCUAUUUAUAGACUUGUCAUCCGUGUCUGCCACAUUUGGAGUCCAACUAUUUCCUACUGGAACCUUACACUCCACUAGAACUGAGUUUGUCAAGUAACAGAUAACCAAUAUGAGAGGGAGCAGCCUAGUGCAGGGGACGAUGAUAUUCUUCAUUGGAUGCCUUGUGCUUUGUGCACAGUGUAAGUAUAUAUCAUCAUCGUCUUUAGAAUCUUGUGUUAACUUCUUGCCACUAAUUCUUCGGAUCAGACAUACAUACACACACACAUCUGCGGUACUGCAUACUAAGGUUAAAUAUACUAUACAGGUGCUCUCGAUAAUAAGCAAAGGAUGGUCAACCAAGAUGAUCAUGCGGCGAACACAAGUACCAACGCUACCAUCAUCAACUCAACAUCUGUAGGCGAGAGCAAGAAAACCGAGAAAUUUUGCAGCCUCUUUCUCGUAUGUUAUUUCAACAUUGAGAUUCGUGCUGAGUGCUACUGUUGCGAGAAUAAGAAUGCCGACUGUUACAAGACGAAGAGUGAGUGCCUGCAGAAGUGCCAUUCCUACAACGGUUAAUGCCCACCUUCAUCGCGGUCUCUGGGAUAGAAUUCCAUAUGCUCGGAAAAUUUGUCCGUAGGUAAUAAAAGGCACCUUAUAUGGUUUGGGCAAUUAGGUCCCAAUUAAACAUUAGAUAGCCGGCAUGUUUCCGUGGAGAUCCAACAAGGAAAAAUUUGAUGAAAGAAAUCCGAGUAACUAGUUGUCUUGCAUAUUUACAAAGUUCAAAUCCUUUGGCUGUUGUGCUUUGACUCGAUUGUCUAUUAUGCCAUUUCAUUUACUUGCACAUUGCCCACUUGUUCAUUUAACACACAUCACCCACUUGGUGAUUUGCCAGUUGUGGGCUGACAGCCAUAUAGAUUUAUUUUUUUGAGAUCUCGUCAUAUAGAAUUGUAAUAGCACUGACAUGGAAAAGGUUAAAAACUGAAAAACUGAAAAAAGUAAAUCAAACAAACAAAUGGUGUGCAAACUAAAUCAGACGGCACAAGACAAGUGAGAUUUAGUCAGGACUCUUUCAGAUGAAGAUAAGCAAAUUGCAAGAAAACAACAUGCAGAAACAAUUUUAUAUCAUAGCAUAACAUGCAAAAAAGCACAUAUAUAGUACAACGACAACCCACGUGUCUAUAUGCUAUCUAUAUGUAUAUUUAUCUAUCUAUAUCUAUCUAUCUAUCUAUCUAUCUAUCCUUACUAAUAAAAGACGGAUCAUUUAUGCCCAUCCGUCUCAUGUUUUGCAACAAAAUACCCUACUUUUUUCUUUAAUUAACCCGCGGUCAAGGUUUAGGUGAGGUUCGUCCGUUGUGUUUUUUGCAAAGAACGAGGAAACGGUUGCGUUUUGUGAGAUUCAAACUCAUGAUGUCCCCUCCAUGCCCAAAAGCCACAGCCAACUGAGUUAGCAUGCACUUGUGCUACCAAAUAGGUCCAUUAUUUCAUUAAAUUGUCCAACCUUGAUUCUUUGCAUGAGAAUACACAAAUUUAUAUGUGAUUGCAAAUUGCCUGGAAAUCAACAAGCCAACUCGAUAACCAAGAAAUAGAGGGAGAGGAGGAAUUCACUCAAUAAAUAGUGUUAACUAGCCGGGUUUCCCGCGCAUUUGUGCGGCUAGCUGACCCUUUCCGAUGCCAACUAUAUGGCCUUUCACUAAACUAUAUUUUGAUUAAAUUUACACCUUGUAUAUGUCAUCAUAGAAAAAAUGAAAAUCGUAAUGAAACAUGCAAGUGCAUCAGGUUGUUCAUUUUAAUAUAGAAGUGCAUUAGGUUUUUAAAUAAAUUCCUUGGCAUGUCAGGUUGCAACACAGAUAAAAAACCAUGUAUGGGAUUUCAUGCCAAUCUUGGUGUUUUUCCUGUGUGAUCACUCCUCCUUUGUAUCAUUUAAUAGGUUUUCGAGAAAUUCCCUACCAAGACUUAAAUCAAAACAUGAAAUUCUGGUAUGUAAAGGUCCCUUCUUCUAGUCAUACCAAUCAACGGACGCAUUCUUAACUACCUUUUCUUGAUUAAUGCCGCCUACCCACUUAUGUAUCAAGAGAUUCACAUCUUCUAUCGUGCUUAUUUUUUCUAUUGAUAAUAUUUUACAAAAUAUUAUCUUUGACUCACUCCCUUUUAAUUUCUGAAGACUUUGAAAGUGAAGAAAUUGGUGUGACCUUGAAGACUUGGUAUUCAUUCGAGGAACAUGAAGCGUGAAGACUUUUGUUUUAGUAGUUUCAUUUUCUCUUUCUUGAGUCAUAGGAAACACUGUACUGUUAAAGGGGGUCGAGUAAAUACUAAGGAAAAAUUUCCAAGUGAUGCUCAACUUAAAAUCCUACACCUACCAAUCCCUUCGAGUGAAGCCAUUGGAAAUCUCAUGCAGUUCAGUCAGUUUCUUCAGUGACAGAGACGAAGUACUUCUGGUCUCUGAGGAAUUUGUUCUGACUGAGGAGUUAGGAAUUCGCCAGUGCGGAUUGCCUACAAGUGAGGAACAUGAUAGCCCUGAGGAAUUAGACACUCAAAAUUCCGACCGUUGCUGUGCUAUGCGCCAGCUGUCCCAAAAUAUCUUACCCACCUAACGGUCAUAUCAUUGAAGGGCAUUUAUGUCUUAUCAUGUAGGGCUGCUGCCUAGGCUAUAAAUAGCCGCCCCCUACAACCACUAUCUGGUUGGCUGCUCCGAGAGAAACCGACACUUGUCAUUUGAGAGCAUCCCAUCCUCCGAGGACUUUAAGCGAAAAUCAUCAAGUGAGGAAAACCCAAACCCAAACACCUAAAAACCCGAAGUGAUUGAGCAUCACUAAAGAGAUUGAUCCUGCGUGGAUCCGACACUUGUUACCUCUGAAGAAUGUGCAUCUUCCAGACGGUUAGGCGUCAUGGUCUAGAGCAUCCAAGAGGAAAUUGUUGAUCGCCGAGUGACCGAGUUUGUGAAGGUUUGGAAUUCACCUGAAGACUUACCACGAGUGAUUGGGCGAGGCUGUGUGACCGUAGCUCAAGGAGAAUACGGUGAGGACUGUGUGUCCGGGACUAUGUGUCCUCAGGUUUAAAUACCUAGCCGCUCCAACCAGACGUACAACUGUCAUAGCAGUUGGAACUGGUCUACCAAAUCAUUGUCUUCACCAACCCUACUGGUUCUAUUUCCUCAACUCUUUCAUUUCCUCAUUACUGUGUUGUGUGCUUGUUCAUAUCUUUUUGAAGACUUUGACUGAAGACUUUCUCAAUUUCCUCAGUUUAAUUUCUUCAGUCUGUUUUGUCUUCAUCAUGUUUUAUCCUAUGCUUACGCUUCCUGUACUCUGUGUCUGUUUUCGUUUCAUCAUGAUGACCAUGUUUAUGUUAUGUCAUGUAUGGAUCUGAGUACUUAUUCCGCUGAAGUAGUUCUUCGCUAAGGAAUUUCCUCACCCUGAAAUUCCUCAGUGAAGAAUUCAUAAAAAUCGCCUAUUCACGCCCCCUCUAGUUGACUUAACGAACUUUCAUCGUCACAUUAGCAACGCCGCACGCCGAGACGAGCACGUGACACCAAGGCCACCCUAUCUAUCUUACGGUAACGCGAGUCGAGGCGAAUGUCGCCGCGGUAGCGACGACGGACGCCGAGACGAGUACGUGACACCACUGCCACCCUGUCUAUCUUAGGGCAACGCGACUAGACGCGGACGUUGUCGCGGUAGCGAUGAAGGACGCCGAGACGAGCACGUGACACCAUUGCCCCAGUCUAUCUUAGGGUAACGCGAGUCGAGGCGGAUGUCGUCGCGGUAGCGGCGAUGGACGCCGAGACGAGCACGUGACACCACUGCCACCCUGUCUAUCUUAGGGUAAUGCGAGUCGAGGGGGAUGUCGUUGUGGUAGCGACGACGGACGCCAAGACGAGCAUGUGACACCACUGCCACCCUGUGUAUCUUAGGGUAACGCGGGUCGAGGCGGACAUCGUCGCGGUAGCGGCAACGCACACUGAGACGAGCACAUGACACCACUGCCACCCUGUCUUAGGGUAACGCAAGUGUCGAGGCGGACGUCGUCGCGGUAGCGACGACGAACGCCAAGACGAGGACAUGACGCUAGGGCCACCUUGUCUAUCUUAGGGUAACGCGAGUCGAGGCGGACGUCGUCGCGGUAGCGACGACGGACGACGAGACGAGCACGUGACACCACUGCCACCCUGUCUAUCUUAGGGCAACGCGACUCGACUGCCAUGUGAUAUAGGUCAGAACUUUUCUGAAUACUUAGUGUCGCCAUGUGAUCCAGACGAAUAAUUAAGAAAGUAUAUAAUUUUACAACCAUGGAUACGCGAGUCGAGGCGGACGUCGUCCCGAUAGUGAUGGCGGACGCCGAGAUGAGCACGUGGCACCACUGCCACCCUGUCUUAGGGUAACGCGAGUCGAGGCGGACGUCGGCGCAUUAGCGACGACGGACGCCGACACGAGCACGUGACACCAGGGCCACCCUGUCUAUCUUACGGUAACACGAGUCAAGGAGGACGUCGUUGUGGUAGCGACGACGGACGCCGAGACGAGCACGUGACACCACUGUCACCCUGUCUAUCUUAGGGCAACGCGAAUCGACGCGGACGUCGCCACGGUAGCGACGACGGACGUCGAGACGAGCACGUGACACCACUGCCACCAUGUCUAUCUUAGGGUAACGAGAGUCGAGGCGAACAUCAUCGCAGAUGCGACGAUGGAUGCCGAGACGAGCACGUGACACCACUACCACCCUAUCUUAGCGUAAUGAGAGUUGAGGUGGACGUUGUCGCGAUAGCGACUACGGAAGCCGAGAUGAGCACGUGACACCACUGCCACCCUGUCUUAGGGUAAUGCGAGUCGAGGCAGACGUCGUCGCAUUAGCAACGCCGGACCGCGAGAUGAGCACGUGACACCAAGGCCACCCUGUCUAUCUUACGCUAACGCGAGUCGAGGCGGACGGCGUCGCGGUAGCGACGACGGACGCCGAGACGAGCAUGUGACACCACUGUCACCCUAUCUAUCUUAGGGAAACGUGAGUCGACGCGGACGUCGUCGUGGUAGNNNNNNNNNNNNNNNNNNNNNNNNNNNNNNNNNNNNNNNNNNNNNNNNNNNNNNNNNNNNNNNNNNNNNNNNNNNNNNNNNNNNNNNNNNNNNNNNNNNNNNNNNNNNNNNNNNNNNNNNNNNNNNNNNNNNNNNNNNNNNNNNNNNNNNNNNNNNNNNNNNNNNNNNNNNNNNNNNNNNNNNNNNNNNNNNNNNNNNNNNNNNNNNNNNNNNNNNNNNNNNNNNNNNNNNNNNNNNNNNNNNNNNNNNNNNNNNNNNNNNNNNNNNNNNNNNNNNNNNNNNNNNNNNNNNNNNNNNNNNNNNNNNNNNNNNNNNNNNNNNNNNNNNNNNNNNNNNNNNNNNNNNNNNNNNNNNNNNNNNNNNNNNNNNNNNNNNNNNNNNNNNNNNNNNNNNNNNNNNNNNNNNNNNNNNNNNNNNNNNNNNNNNNNNNNNNNNNNNNNNNNNNNNNNNNNNNNNNNNNNNNNNNNNNNNNNNNNNNNNNNNNNNNNNNNNNNNNNNNNNNNNNNNNNNNNNNNNNNNNNNNNNNNNNNNNNNNNNNNNNNNNNNNNNNNNNNNNNNNNNNNNNNNNNNNNNNNNNNNNNNNNNNNNNNNNNNNNNNNNNNNNNNNNNNNNNNNNNNNNNNNNNNNNNNNNNNNNNNNNNNNNNNNNNNNNNNNNNNNNNNNNNNNNNNNNNNNNNNNNNNNNNNNNNNNNNNNNNNNNNNNNNNNNNNNNNNNNNNNNNNNNNNNNNNNNNNNNNNNNNNNNNNNNNNNNNNNNNNNNNNNNNNNNNNNNNNNNNNNNNNNNNNNNNNNNNNNNNNNNNNNNNNNNNNNNNNNNNNNNNNNNNNNNNNNNNNNNNNNNNNNNNNNNNNNNNNNNNNNNNNNNNNNNNNNNNNNNNNNNNNNNNNNNNNNNNNNNNNNNNNNNNNNNNNNNNNNNNNNNNNNNNNNNNNNNNNNNNNNNNNNNNNNNNNNNNNNNNNNNNNNNNNNNNNNNNNNNNNNNNNNNNNNNNNNNNNNNNNNNNNNNNNNNNNNNNNNNNNNNNNNNNNNNNNNNNNNNNNNNNNNNNNNNNNNNNNNNNNNNNNNNNNNNNNNNNNNNNNNNNNNNNNNNNNNNNNNNGCGUCGCGCUAGCGACGACGGACGCCGAGACGAGCACAUGACACCAAUACCACCAUGUCUAUCUUAGGGAAACGCGAGUCGACGCGGAUGUCGUCGUGGUAGCGACGCGGACACCGAGGCAAGCACGUGACACCACUGCCACCCUGUCUAUCUUAGGGUAACACGAGUCGUGGCGGAUGUCGUCGUGGUAGCGACGACGGACGCCGAGACUAGCACGUGACACCACUGCCACCCUGUCUUAGGGUAACGCGAGGCGAUGCGAAUGUCGUCGCGGUAGCGACGAUGGACUCCUAUACGAGCAUGUGACACCACUGCCACCCUCUCUUAGGGUAACACGAGUAGAGGCGGAGGUCGUCGCGGAAGCGGCGACGGAUGCCUAGGCGAGAACGUGACACCACUGCCACCUUGUCUUAGCGUAACGCAAGUCGAGGCGGACGUCGUCCCGAUAGCGACGACGGACGCCACGGCGAGCACGUGACACCACUGCCACCCUUUCUUAGCGGAACACGAGUCGAGGCGGACGUCGUCGCGAUAGCGAUGACGGACGCCAAGACGAGCAUGUGACACCGCUGCCACCCUGUCUUAGGGUAACACGAGUUGAGGCGGACGUCGUCCCGUUAGCAACGACGGACGCCGUGACGAAAGUGGAGCGCUCAAGGCCGGAAUCGACCGCGAAAGGGAAUAGAAUGGGCGCAACCAUUCGCUAACUUUGUCGUUUGCUGUCGCAUCGAUCUGGUGUGAAAUGAGAGCUCCUAUGUGUCGCAUUUUGCGGGGCGCCACCGAGUGGGCCGGCCCAUUAGUAGCACUGCAGCAAGCCAAUAAACGCACUGUAGCUAAAAACUGAGCGCCCCGUGGGGACGGACGCCGAGACGAGCACGUGACACCACUGCCACCCUGUCUUAAAAGUCGAGGCGGACGUCGUCUAGCAUGUCAUGUCAAAUUGACACAAAAAAUGUUCAUUUAAAAAAAAUAUUAGAUAUUUCAGAAAAUGUUCUUGUUUUUCAGGAAAUUUCAGGAAUUCAAAAGUUGUUUAUUUCUACAAAUUUGUUCUUGAUUUGAAUUUUUUCUCAUUAAUUUUAAAACAUGUUCAUAGUAGAUCAAUUUAAUGAACAUUUCGAUUCAACCAAAAAGCUGUAGAUCAAUUUAAUUCAGUAUGUUAAUUUAUGUUUAAUAAAAUUAUGUUCAUGAAAAGUAUUAAUCGAAAGGGAAUAGAGGAAUAUGCGAAUUUAUUUUUUGUGUGUAAAAGUAGCUAUUCAUUUUAGUUGAAAGUGCUAGUUCAUUUCAAUUAAAAGUGGGAUUUCCGGCCCGUUAUUGUCCCUGAAAAACCACUGGCCCAGAAAGGGAAUAGGAAAACACAGGCCCAAAAGAAAAAAACAUGGAAAGGGAAUAGAGGCUAGGUGAGGUAUUGGGCCAAGGCUGGGCCGAACUCAUGAAAAGUGGAGCGCUCAAGGCCGGAAUCGAUCACGAAAGGGAAUAGAAUGGGCGCAACCAUUCGCUAACUUUGUCGUUUGCUGUCGCAUCGAUCUGGUGCGAAAUGAGAGCUCCUAUGUGUCGCAUUUUGCGGGGCGCCACCGAGUGGGCCGGCCCAUUAGCAGCACUGCAGCGAGCCAAUAAACGCACUGUAGCUAAAAACUGAGCGCCCCCGUGGGGGGAGCGAACUAGCGACCUCUGGCUACUGAAUGACUCUCGCUAGCCACUUGAGCUGAUGACCCGUUGGUUAUUGUUAUACACCGCAAAAUACUAAAAGCACUACUGGGAGGAGCAGAUCAAACAUGUACUGUAGCGACCGGACCGUGUACUGUAACGACACGAACAAGGCAAGGUAGAGUUUCUUUUAGAAGCUCCAAAUCUUUCUUUGAAAAACAUGAACAUUUUUUAAAAAUACAAAUAAAAUUUCAAAUUUCAAACAUUUUUCAAAACAGAUAAAAAAUUUAGAAAACCACAAAAGUAUUUAGAAUUUGUGAACAUUCUUUUGAAAAAGGGAACAUUUUUUAAAUUCCGAACAAAUUUUGAAAGCCUGAACAUUAUUUGAAACUCCCCGAACAAUUUUUGAAUUUGUGAACAAAUUUUGAAAACGAGAACAUUUUUUGAAAUUGUGAACAAAUUUUUUAAACCACAUACAUUUUUUGAAAUUGUAAACACUUUUUGAAUUUGUGAAAAUAUUUCAAAAUGAGAACAUUUUUUGAAAUUCUGAAUUAUAUUUGAAAUUUUCAAAAAAGUUCGAAUAGAAAAAUAAACUUAAAAAAUAAUAAGAGAAAAAUGAAAUAGAAAACAAAAAAAUAUUCAGAAAUUCAUGAACGUUGUUUUGAAAAUAUUUAGAAAAGAAGCCAACAAUUUUUGAAAUUUCUGGACAAAAUUUGAAAACAGGAACAUUUUUGGAAAUUCCGAAACAAUUUUAAAAUGCAAACAUUUUUUGAAUGUAGAAACAAAAUUUGAAAAAAGGAACAUUUUCCAAAUUUUGAACUUUUUUUAGGAAUCUGAAUAUUUCUAGAAAAAGAAAAAUGAAAUUGAAUAAAAAGAAAACGGAAAAAGAAAAAGAAAAACCUGACCACAAAGAAAUAGAAAAAAAGAAAAGAAAAGAAAAGAAAAAACCGUAGAAAAGAAAAAAACUGGUUCAGGGAACCUUCUGGAAGGUUCCCAAAACCAGAUGGGGUAGUGCCAACGCGAUCUACUCAAAUAGGCUGGCCCAGUCGUGUUGGUCGGCCGAUCGCCUGUGCAUUGCCCUGGCAACUUGCCGCGACGAGCGGCAAAUAGGAAAUUCCGUGCGAAAAAUCGAGGGCGCCUCUUAGGACGCGCGCGCUAGUGACGCCGCAUUGGAGUUCUCUCUAUACGGAUACUUGCUAGCGUUGACCAAGCACGGAAAUAAGCGAGGUCACUUCUCUCUAUUAGCUAGCUAACACAAUAUAUGAAACCCCCUCUCCCUUCUUUAAAAAAAACCAAAACCCCUGCUCCUGCUAGCUGCUGACGCGUGGAUGCCUUUUGGUACCGGUUGCUGUUACCAACCGGGACUAAAGGUGCUCCUGCCUAGGCGCCCCGCAGCGGCCACGUGGAGCCCCUUCUGUCCCGGUUCAUAAGCGAACCGGGACUAAAGGUUUUGGGCUUUAGUCCCGAACCUUUAGUCCCGGUUCCAGAACCGGGGCUAAAACUACAAAAAAAAUACACUUCCGUGGUGAUACACGUUUGUCACAGUAGGUCGCAUUUUCUGUCAUGCAUGUACAUCCAUGACGAUUUUAUGACAGAAUCAAGGUAGUCAUACCUGUGCUGUCGUAGAAGUGUUCCAUGACAUUACCAAAAUUAUCAUCACGGAAAUGUCCACUUCCAUGACGAUAAAUCCCGCGUCACAGAAGUGCUUUCGUCAAGGGUGACCGACACGUGGCAUCCACCGUAACGGAACGCCGUUAAGCUAUCGGGUCGGGUUUUGGAUCCGAUAACCCGUUAACAACCCCGACCAAUGGGGAUUUUCCACGUGUAAAAUCAUCAUUGGCUGGAGGAAACACGUGUCGGCUCAUCGUUGGGACAGAUGUCAUCCACUCAAUGGACAGAAGGCGCCUAUGAUACGUCGACACGUGGCACGGCCCAACAGAGGCCCAUUCCUGUGAAAAGGCCGGCCCGUUUGACUUGGUCAAAAGGUGGCGGGCCGGCCCAUGUAAAGCCUGUUAACUGCCUGUUCGCAUAUAGCCCAUUUACAGCCCGCUAACCCAAGGCCCGUUACGCCCUAUCCGAAUUAGGCCCAGUAGCGUCAUCUGGGCCACCCAAUAUGAUUCCAGCCCGUUUUCACUUCUGGCCCAUGUAUGGCCCAUGACGUCUUUCGGCCCAUAUGAGGCCCUAUGUAACUCUUGGCCUAUUAACGGCCCGUGGUGAAACUGGCCCGUAAUGAACAGUGUAUCACUUUACACCCAUUAACGGCCCGUGGUGAAACUGGCCCGUAAUGAACAGUGUAUCACUUUAUACCCAUUAACGGCCCGUUAUCCCGUUGGGCCGUUUCCAUCCCAUGUUAUCUUUCGGCCUUCUCAGAGCCCAUUUAUUCUUGGGCUCAUUUACAGCAUUCGUUUACUUAUGGCCCGUUACUGUCAUUUUCUGCUUGUGGGCCAAAUUCAGCCCGUGGUUACAGUCCGCCCGUUUGUGGUCCGUUAAUACGUUGGGCCGUUUUCAUAGCGUCAUCAAAUACGGCCUAUUAACGAUGGUCCGUUAUGGUCGGCCCAUGAACGGACGAUUCCAACUCUAGCCCGUUUACGGCCAUAAUGCGGCAUGUUAUUGGCCCAGGUUUGGCCAAUCGAUCAUACUGCCCGUAUAAGGCCCAUUGAUGAUACGGCCCGUAGAAGGCCCAUUGUUUCUACGGCCCAUAGAAGGCCCAUUGUUUCUACGGCCCGUAGAAGGCCCACUGUUUCUAUGGCCCGUAGAAGGCCCACUGUUUCUACGGCCCGUAGGAGGCCCAGUGUCACUACAGUAAAUAUUAGCCCAUGGUUAUUGUGGCCUAGUUUUAAAAAAUAGGCUAUUGCAGCCACUAGCAAACCGCGGAAAAAGAACUGCAAUGACUGCAAGCAAACAAAUAAACAAGACAACAAGGAAAUAAACAAGCAAGCAACUUAUGCUAGGCUAUCACACAUAUUACAUCCACUGGGCAUCAAAGUUCGCCACCAGUGCAAAUAAACGCGCCGACAAAAGAAUAUACAAAACUGAGAGCACUUCAGGAGGCACUAGGCCUGGCCAUGUCGGGCCCCCCAAACAGCCGAAGAAGCUGAGUAGACCUCGGUUGUGUCAACGAUAGAUGCAUCAACACUAGAUUUAAGGCAUGAUGGUGCGCAUGGCAGUCCUCUGACAUCUUCAUUGCAUCUUUGACUUCAAGUCGGAGCUGAGCUGAAGCAAGCCUUUCCGCUUUAAGUUGAGACUGAAGAAGUCGAACUGAUUGAGGCAGCGACUGCACAGAGGUUGUCUCACACCUGCUGGUGAGUAGCUUCAACUCACUGUCUUCAUCAAGACAGGACCUCGGGGUCAUCUCGCUGUCCUCAAGAUGGUUUGGCUCACUAUCUUCCCUAAAGUUCUGCCUGGCGUAAGAGAUACGAGUCUGAAAGAGAAACAAGGAGACACGUAACAGGUUUCACAAUUAUAUAAGCAAAUAAAUGGAUCUGUUCUGCAUAAGGAACAUGUUUUUACAACUACAAUUUGAAACUGGUAGUUGUUGCAAACAUCCAAUCAGAUGUAAACAGCAAAGCAAACAGCAGUGGAGGAAAUGAUGCCUAUCCAAAUCUAUACUAGAACAAAGUUUGAAGGCUUGAGAAGGAUGAACUUACAUUACAUGUUAACACGGGCUGGACAAAGUCCUUCUCCAUGUUGAUGGAAGGAUAAUUCAAUAAAUUCCCCAAAGAAAAUUCUUUAUAAGCGUUGCCAUUAUUCUACAUUUUGCAAAGAGUAAAUAUAGAUCAAAUAAUAUUGGAAGAAACAGAGGAUAAUGAAGCUCAGGUGCAGACUGAUGAUACAUAAUCAAAUAGCAAUUAAUUAAGUACAACGUUACAAGGCAAAAGGGAGAGAGGUACUGACAAGAGCAAUGCAGAGCCCAUUAUUGUUUUGAGAUUGUAUGAUCCUUUGAGCAAGGAGAUUCAUCUGAAAUUAGUUUUCAUACAAGAGAGAAGGUAAGGCACAAGAAAAAUUUAGGAGUUCAAAUUUUGAAUUGAUAUCAUAGACAGUACCUGACGCUGGGCUCCCAGCAGUUCUAAUAGGGGUUUGGCCACUGGAGUAGGGGUAAAGUGUGGUACAGUUGGGCCUGUGUUUUCUGUGGCUGCUGAUCUAUCUGAUUUAACAGGUAUCACUACCUUUUCCAAAUACCUAGUUUGUACUCCUUGAGGAUCUGCACUCACCCUCUUCCUUUUGGAAAUCUAUUACGAAAGAACAACAUUUGACUGGAAAAACAUAGUGUGACGAGACAUGGAAUAGGUACAGAAAAUGGAUAGGUAUGGCAUAUACUCAUAUAUGAUGCUUAAACUAAGCAGAUGGUGUAACAAAGUAGAAGUAAUGCAAGCGGUCAGAUGCAAAAUAUGCGCGACCAAUACAACUUUGCAAAGUUAGAGCAAGCACCUUGAUGGGUGAAUAAGAUAGGCCAUCCUCCACCAUGCCAAGUUUGUUAGCCAGUGAAUCGUUCCGCAAUAUUCCUCUCAUGCGCCCAUUCUCAUAUUCAUUUUGAUAAUGUUCAAUAUCUGACAUGCAUGAAAACAUAAAAACAAGUGAGAUUUUCUUUGUAAUGCAGAAGUGAUUCUAAUCCAAUACUGCCUCCCUGUAAACCCCUUUGUGCUAUCUCUGCAAUUCUUUUAAAAGAUGCCAUGCAUGCUGUAAUUUGUUGUGUGCAUUAAUAUAAUGUCGCCUACUACUCAAAAUAUGAGAGCUCCAGAAGUGAUGACACUUCGCAGAUGAUAGCUUCAACAUAUAGUAAAGAAGAACAAGUCGACCUGACCUGACAUAUUCAAAAUAUACUAAGGGAGAACAACUCGACCUGACCAGUCGACCGCAAGGGAAGAGUAUCAUCUUAAAGAAGAGCAGAAGAGCAAGCAGAUUGAAGAUAUUACAAGUCUUUCAAUACAAUGUCGGUUGGCCACCCAUGAUGAACCAGAGCGCACAGAGAAAUACUAUUCUUUCUGGUCUCUCCAUAUGUGGCUCACAUGCAUUUCGAAACUAAAGAAGGAACAUUUAGCUAACCAAUUAAACAUCUCUCAGUUUUACUAAUAUCAGCAAUAAUAUCAUAUAUGAAUUUGUACAACUAAGCUUUUUUAGCUCGAUGGGUGGAGCAGUGCUAUUACGACACGAACCACGUAGGCUGAUUGUGGUCAUCAUAAAAUGGGGAAAACAUAAGCAUGAUGAGUACAGUGUUGACCGUGGCAGUGGGAUGGCAGAUCUGAAGCUGCAAACCGCGCAAAGGGUAGUUAGCAACCGAUGUUUGCUUUGAAAUAACAACUAAGAUUUGGUAUGGACAAGAAAGUACGGUCAACAAGUGACAAAGAAAUGCAAUUAUGCUGUCUCUCUAUAUGUCGCGACAUGCAUUUGGAAACUCAAGUGGGACCUUUAGCUAACCAAUUAAAUGUGUCGGUUAACUAAUAUCAGUAUCAUAUCACAAUCAUAUUUGAACAACUAAGCUUUCGAAUUCUGAGUGUUGUGUUGUUUAGCUUGAAGGGUGGAGUAAUGCUAGUACGACAGAAAGGACCUACGCAGAUCAGAGUAGAGUAGAUAAAAGGGGAAAACCCUAAGCAUCAAGAGAAAAAUCAGGAAAGUGGAACUAGCUGGACCAGUGGGUGGCGCACAUGCUUUUUGAAACGAAUAUAGGAACAUUAGGUGACCAAUUAAACGUUCUCUGUUUUAGUAAUAUGAGCAUCAUAUCAGAUUCGUAUUUCAACACGUAAGCUUUGGGUUGAGGUCUUGAGGAGCAGUGCUAGCACGACACGAAGCACCUACGAUGAUGGUAGUGAAUAUAAAGGGGGGAAACCAUAAGCUUUACGAGUAUAGUGCCCGUGCCAUGGAGGAUCUGAAGGUGCAAACCGGACAAAGCUACUUCACAACCAAUGUUUGCUUUCAACUAGCCACUAUGAUUUGGUACGGACAAGAAAAGUAAAGUAAACAAAUUACGGUCUAUUUUCCGGGUGAGAUCAAUAACUUAAGCACAUAUGGAAGAGUACCACCUCUCUUGCGACGCCGUGUAGGCCUAUGCUGAUACGUUGAGGGUGCUGCGGGUGCGAUGGCUAUCGGCGGCGGGGAAGAAGACUUUAGACGGCAGACGACCGGGUCAGGGGAUAUAUCCUGUUGCCGUGGACGAGGCGGUCGUAGGAGCGGCAACGGCAAGGUGGACGACGGCACCGAUGAAGCGAGAGGAGGCGAUGAAAGGAUCCUGGUCCAACGCCGUGGAUGAGAGACGUCCAUCUCUUGCAGUGGACGACGGGGUAGGGGUAGCGGCUCCGGCAAGGUGGAAGAUGGGGUGGCGGACGGAGGAGGCUGGCCGCAGUGCGGAGGUUGUCGUGCCGCCGACGGUGUAUGAAUGGGGAAAUGGAGGGGAGGGGGGAUCUCAAACUUUGGGACGCGCUUCUCUGAAAUGGGGGAAAGUUACGAACUUAUCCCCCGUUUAAAAUUUCGGACAUCGCAUCGGUUGGGGAUAGGACGGUAAUCUCGCAUCUCCCAAAUAUUUGCCGGUAACUAUUUCGGGCGAGGAGAGGGUGUUUUGCCGCCCACGGUUGGCGCCCACGGUGUAUGAACGGGGCUGACAGGUAGGGCGGUUGUGUCACGUCUGAUGGAAGUUACACAUCUGCCCCUAUUUAAAAUAUUAGCCUACAUCGAUUUCGGACGAGGAGAGUUUGUUUUGCCGCCCACCGUGUACGAAUGGGGAAAUGGAGGAAGAGACACAUGUCUUUCGGACGAGCUUGAAUCAAAUGUGUUUUGCUGCCCACGUUUGGCGCCCACCGUGUCUGAAUGGGCUCAGAGGCCGUCGUGUCACGUCUGAUUUAAGUUACUAGUCUACCCCUAUCGACAGCAGUGUAAAUCCGGUCGAUAAGGAUGUCAAGUGUGAGGGGUAGACAGUAAUUUCCAUCUCGCAAACACUUGCUUCGGGCAGCCCACAAAUUACAGUGGGUGUUUAGCCUCUUCGUUCAAAACUUGGGAGAAUUAGCAUUCACGUUUGCCCUGGGACCUGGCAAACUAAAUUCAAAUCCAAUUUGUAUUCAAUUACGAAUAUCCACAGAUAAUUAUACAUUUUGUUAUUUAUUUCUUCGAAACCAUAACAAACAUUUAUUCCACCUUUAUAUAUGAUUAUGAUUUAGAAAUGCCGUGAUCUUCGAAUUCAGUAGGUUGGAUACACUCUGAGUCAAACAGUUAUUUCAUCCAAUACAAUAUGCUCACACGAAAAACAGUUCACCUUAUGUCAAUCAUACAAGUACUGAGGAUUACCUCGCCUAAAAAAUUCGGAUCAUUACAACACAUGGACAACAUAGGGGGUCUUGCAACAUAAUCCAUUCAGAGAUAUGACACAACAUGCAAGUACAAUAAUCUAAUGACAAUUUCAACUGGUAUCUAAAGAAGAACCGGGAUUACCUUGGGCUUUAGAUAGCAGAAACAGCAGGACCUCCUCCGUCUUCAAAUGCAACAUUCUUACUUCCUCCAAUUCUAGGGUUGCUUGCAUAAUGCGUGGCGCUAAUUCCGUAAUUUCCAGCCUCAAGAUAAAGAUUACCUCAUUGAUGGCAGCCCCACCAUCUCUUUCUGCCUCUAGUAGAGCCUCAAGCACUAUAAUAUCUGUGCUCAGACUGCUCUCCGGCGGUGUUGCCUCUGAACUGCUACCAUCUGGUAACAUGGAUGGCACACUGCUUCCACAAAUAGAUUCUGGGGUUGUACAUUGUGUCCAAGUGUGAACGGCAUCCUGGAAGGUUUUCGCUGGACAUCAGUAAGAGAUAGUUAUCGUAUGAUCCAGGCAGUAAGCUUACAUGGUAAACGAUGGAUGAAUUAUUGCCGAGCAUGGCAAACUAUAUUUAAAUGGUUCGAAGCAGCAUCAGCCGAAAAGAAAUUAAAAUUGUAAGAUGAAACUAGGGAUGUAAGUGGCAAAUAAACGACAUCCGCCAGUCCCAUCUAGUUAGUUUUUGCUACCUCCCUAGUUCAUUUUCCACAAAAAACAAAAACUCUUUUGAACUAUCAUACCACUAGUGGACUUUAAUCGGGAUUAAACGGGACCCAGUUGACAUCCCUAGUUGAAAGGGAGUGUACAACCGCUAUAUUUAAGUUGCCAAGGCAUCUAAGCAGUUGAAAUAAUCUGAGAAAGCACUUAACAGUGUGGCCUCAUAUAAACUACCAAGACAGUCUUGUGAUGAAGUUGAGAGGAAAAGUUAAGGACUCAAAUGAAAUAGGCAUGCAUUUCUUUACGAUAGUACAGCAGGCACUGCUGACAUAUUGGACAACUCAGGUAUAGCAUAACAACAAAUAAGCAUUCGAAUCAAGCAAUACAGCAAAGCAGACAACUGAACUAUUUGUAAUUCGGUAGGAUUACAUGUUGAGGGCACAAGCCAAGAAAGCAGCCCACUCGCAUUACAUUUCACAUGUACUAAAACACACUGGCUUACCAUAUGUUGCUGUGAAGCCUAGCUGCUGUUGCAAUGUUCUUUGAAGAUAUCGUCAGCAUCCCGUGGUUGCAAAUCUAGUUGUUGUAGUUUAUUCUGCACCAUCUAUUUAGGUAAAAUUAAUUUUAAUCGCAUGCACUGGUCCGAAUUGAUCAUCAAUGGUUCAUCUAAACUAAUGAAAGAAGGGUGUGUGCAUACACGACAAUAUACCUGCUUCCCUCUAUUUUUAUGCUUGUUCGAGGUGCCAGCCCCAAAAGAACAAAUAUUUUGCUUGAUGGGGUUGGCAGCUCCAUAAUUAAUAGAAGCAUCAAAUUAGUCAUGCAACUUGGGAAGAUCAAGAACACACAAACAAGUAAUGAACAGAGGCUCGGAGCGGUGAUGUAAUAGCUAGCAUCAGAAAAUGUAGGGUAAAAUGAACAAAAAGCAGCGGAACCACAUGCUAGUUUGCUGAUGUGUAAUUAAGCAUAGAGAACAUUAAGCAGUCUGAUGGAACCAACAGGUGGCAUCAGAACAAAACUAAAGCAUAUUAACUAUAUGUGCACUAAUAUGUAAUUUAGCACAUGUAACAUGUUCACUGCCAGAAGAAUGGCCCUACAGGUGCAAGCAGAAUAACGCGUCUCAUGAAAAACUGAAUGAUGCCCUGAAGAAAUUCAAAGGUGCGGUGCUUAUGCUAGGAAAGUGAACGUAGGCGCCGGCCGUUGGAUAAUAGUACCUGAUUCUCGGCGGCGUAUGGGUAUCGUUGUCAUACUUGAUAGCUAAGGAUCGUCGAUGGUGCUCGUGUUGCGGUUGAGUUUGGGCCGGCUGUCGUCGUCGCUGAAGCGGCUCCGGUGCUACGGUUGCGGUGCCUGUCGACAUACAAGAAAGUUCAUCUGUGGUAAGUGAACAGUUGCACGAUAAAGAGAAAAACCGAAGGAGUACAAAUUGAAAUAACCUGAUGAGGCUGCGGCGUCGGUAAAGCAGGGCCGGUGGAGUUGAAUAUGGUGUCUAUGGAGCGGGUCCGGUGUAGUGGACGAAGGCUUCGACGGGCCUGUUGUACAGUGCUUUCGGUGAGGCGGAUCUGUUGCGGCGGACGAGGGCUUGUAUGAAGGGCCAGCGAAGGGGCGGACGAGGGAGUCAGUGAAGGGCCUACGCUACGGUGGACGAGGGCACCGGUUAAGCAGAUCCGGUGCGGUGGACCAUGAUGGCGGUCAAGGAGAUCUGGAGCGGUGGACAAGCCAGUCGCUGAAGCGGCUCCGGUGAAGUGGUGAGUUGGCAGUUGGGGGUUCCAAGGUGCGGAAGGUAGAUCUGGCGGGGUGUGAGGUCCACCGCUGCGGCGGAGGACUAGAUUCGGCGGCUUGCCGUGGUUGGGGGGGUCGGGGAGGGGAAGGGGAGGGGCUCUGGGGAAGAAUGUUAGGGGCAAAGAGGGGAAAACAAUGGAGUUACCAAAGCAGCCCUUUUCCGUUCAUGUGGCAGGGGUAAAACAGGAACAUCGCAGGGCUAAACUUUCGGGCGCGUGAUAUUUCGAUGUGAGCGGGAAGUUUGAAAGCUUUUCGCACCUAAAAAUAUAAGUAUUCUGCUCUCGUACGACCGACUAUGAUAUCAUGGCCGACAAUUUGUUUGUUUUGCACGCAAAAAAUGUGCAAGUUUUGAAAAUCAAUGUCUCCAACUCGAAACUUAGAUUGUCCAUUCAAUUCAAACAUGGUUCAUUGAGCUACUACAAGCAAAUACCAUCAUACGGUCCAGUUCAAAUGAAAUUCCAAAUGUGUUUAUCCUAAAUAUGAUGACAAAAGCAAAAAUGUGUAUGUGUAUGAAUAAAGUGGAUGAUUAUAAAGUUUGAACAUGCCCGUAUGUGUAUAUCUCUAGGUUUGAUAUAUGAAUUUGAAAUCACAAAAUCCCGGCUUAAAAAAUGUACCUCCGUUUAAAUGAAUUACAAAAGCUAAUGAUGGAGUCGAAUUCCAAAAUUCCAAUCUUAGGUUUGUAAUUCUGGUACAUCAAGGUAUAUCACGCAUGUUGAAAAGUAUCAUUAUCUCAUAGUACAAACUGUGAAACAAAUUGAUCAACCAUGAGUGCACAAUAUCUCAAUUACGCUAAAGUCCCUCAAAUAUAGACACCUCACUCUUUAUCUGAAGUCAACCCCCCACCACCACACACACACACACAUAGAGAAGUCGUUCUCUCCCCCAAACACCAACACACGAGCACAUUAACACCCCUCUCUCUUGUAAAGUCCGGACCCCAACAUAGGUCUCUAUCACUUUGUCUCUCGGGCAUGCACACAUGUCUUCCCUCACUCUCUAGGUCUCCCGCUAUCUCUCUUACCCAAGAACACACACUAUGUAGAGUGUAUAUUUCCCAUACACACAAAACGUUGCCCCCAAACGUCUAUCUCCCUAGUUAUGUGGUUCUCGCGCACUCACCUCACACACCACCCCCACUACAAACAAGCACACUUUGUCUCCUUGUGCACCACUCUCCUCUUUCUAUCUAUCCCACAUGCGGACCCGCCCCAGCUCCUUCCCUGUAUACAUAUAUGUCGUGACUCUUUGCAUAGCUCCCUAAUGUAUAAUCGUUCUCGAUUUCGCACAUUGUUCUCUACACCAUCUAUUCUAGAUCUCUCAUGAAGUCCCUAUCACACACACGAUGACUCGCUUCCCUUGCGUCUCCGUUCAUAGGCCAAUUUCGGAUAACAUCAACAUUGUCUCCCUAUCUAUACGCCAUUUAUGGACACAAACGACCCCUCUCGCCCCCUCUCUUCCUCUCUCUCUCUCUCUCUCUCUCUCUCUCUCUCUCUCUCUCUCUCUCUCCGUCGCUAGCUCUCUCUUUCUCUCGCUCUCACACCCCUCUCCCACACACACACUCGAUGUCUCUUCCAAAUAGUCUGCUCCCCCCACCCGCACCCGUGCUAUCUCGCUACUACACAUGUCACACCAUUCCCCUUCCCUUAUACUAGGUUUACAUCAUCAGUGGUCUCUCUACUCCACAUACACUCUCUCCCUCUCACACACAAACGCAUGCACAAACACACACAGACACGCACAAACACCCAUUUAUCUGGAUCCUCAUCUCUCCUCAUGUCCGCAUGUGUAUCUCACACACUCACUCUCUAAUUAUGUAUAUGUGUCUCCACGUUACACAACACAAAGCCCCAUGUACAUGUCUCUCUCUAUCCUCCACACACAUAGACACAAAGAAUCUGUUAUCAUUGCCUUAGUCUCUAACAUAUCACACACGCACACUGUCUCUCUCUCUCUCGCAAACACGCUCAACAAGGGUUUCCCCGUGAAUAACUUACCGUCUAUUCAUCAACAGUCGUGGCAGUACGGCGAACACGAGACGUGAAAAAAGAAUAAAUCUACACGUGCUUAGACCACCUAGUAUGACUACUAGGACUAGAGCAAGCCAAAAAGCGUGCCGCCGUCACCCCCUCCUUGUCGGCGACGGGAAAAUCUUUGUUUUACACAGUCGAGAAGUCAUUGUGCUAAGGCCCCACAUGCUGAGGUGUUGAAUAGAAUGUAGAUGCUAGUUUACGGAAGCAAGUAUCGAUAAUAUGUUUGUAUCUCCAUACUUAUAUUUCUUCUCUUAUAAAAAACCGAGUUGGUGAUGAUGGUACGUGUGCCAUCUUGCAAUAUAGACCGUCCGAUCUAUAUCUGAUGGAUGGAAAUUAAACUAAAAGAUACCCGCACCCCUCUCCACAUUUGGAGACAAGGCCUUCCCUCGUUCAUCCUUAUCUCCAACAAACCUCAUUGUUGAGCAAUUAAGAAAGGAAGCCUCUGGAACAAACUGGCCUGGUGGCCGCUGCCGGCGUCGUCAAUCCCCAUGCCUCCGCUCAGUCCGACCACCAACCACCACCACACCCCACUCCUCUUCACCUUAUCUCAUAUUUCUCGAGAUAUCAUUAGUUUUUACACAUGGGAUUACUCCCGCAAGGGUCAAUCACAACAGUGUUUUAUAAAAAAAUGCAUCUUGAUGUUCCAUGCAAUGCACGGAUCUUGCUAUUACUCCUACACAAGACUAAGUUGGUGAUGCUGGUGUGUCUGCCAUCCGUCGUUUCUGACCAUUAGAUCUACAUCUAACGAUUGUGAGGUAAGUUGUUGCCUUUUCUUACCAACAUCCCACUUGUCUACCAAUUUGCAGAAAAACCCAUAAUUAGUAUCUUAAAACCAACCACAUCCCUCCCUGACCUCACCCAAACAGCCCAAGGAAUAUAUUCUAAUUGAAACAUAAUAUAUCUCUAGUGACAUAUGUAUAUCAAAAUUAGAGUGUUUUGUACCAAGUUUGUGAAUAAGUAUUAUUCUAAUUAUGAUUCGUUGCAACGGACAUGAACAUUGCUAGUAUUUCCAACCAUGCAUUUUUUCCUAGUAUUCCAUAGUUUCGAGUUUUCCAUCAAGAUAUUAGUCACUCAUGGUUGAUAUUUACUUUCAAUCAUGUACCCAUAUGCACUAUGUAACUAGCCUUGCUUAUUGGCUUCCAAAGCUUAACUUUCACUCCUACUUACAAUAUGUAGAGUAUUUAACAAAAAACUACCACUUUCAGCCAGCCCUAGGAAGAAUCUAUUGUACAAAAAAUAGCAAAAACAUACCCAAAAUUUCUUAAUCCACGCUAAAAACUACCUAGUACUCCUACCGAUUAGGUUCGUUUAAACCCAUUUAUGACAGGGUUGGCCCACACGUCCGUGCUGACGAGGCAGCUUAAACCAACACAUUUUGUUUGACCGUUGACACGAGGGACCCACAUCUGACCUUCUAUCCUGUUAUUCCCCCUCAAAUCAUUAUUUUUCCUGAACAUUACUUCAAACAGUACGGAUGCGUAUUCGUCGGUGGCGCCGGUGAUGAGCGAGUUGGCCGCCGCUCCGCUGGACGGGCCGGAUGCCGCGGUGGCCUCCGCACGGGUUGGCAGGCUGGCCCGAGCGUGACUCACGAGCGAGCAAGCCGCCGCGCUGGCCUUCGCUCGAGCCAGAUGGCUGGCCUUAGCGCGGCGCGCGCGAGCAAGCGGCCGCGCUGCCGUGCCAAUCUAGCUAGCAAACCUUGCAGACAAGCAGCUGGACGGAGCUAUCUUGGCUAGCUAGCGGCCGCGAGCAACGGACGGAGCUGGCAUCCGGGCUACCGCAACAUGGGCUCCGCACCGCCGGCGGUUUUGACCUCGCCUUCUGCCGGCGGCGGUAGCUGCGUCCCAUGGCCGAGGAUGACUAGGAGGACGGGCCAGAGGUAGGAGGUCACUCGAGGAUUUUUGUUGGUAAGAGCAUGUACAAUGGUUGAUAAGGUAGUCUUAUCUUAAGUCUGCCACGUAUGCAAGUGGUAGUAGUUUCUUGGCAUUUUAGUGGUUUCUUGCAUUAUUAGAGCAAGUACAAUAGAGCCGAGUCAGCGGGCUAUAAGAAAUAAACUAGUAUAUUUCUUCUUAGUUGGAGGAAAGAGAAGAGGAGAGAGAAGGUAAGCGGGUUCGUGAAGAGCCAGCUCUAGCACGUGCUCCUAGGCACUAUGUGAGAAUGAGAAGUGGGCCACAUAAUAAAAAAGUAGUACACUCUUUUGAUCUAUUAUUGUACAUGUUGGCUAUAAGAUGAGCUGUAGAUGACAUGGCACUGGCUUAUAGCCAGCAGCUGGCUAUACUAUUAACCAUGCUCUUAGGGGUUUCUUGUAAGGAACAAUGUACGUACUACUAGCGACAAAAGGCGAUUCUAGGUUGCGUUGUACUCCAACGAGUACUACUAGUGGUCGCGGGAGUGUAUACCUCAUUUUGUGGGUUCAAUCCCGGCCGAACGCACGGCGGCCUUUUUUUUAAAAAUAGUACUACUACACUUCGCUGCAAGCCAAUAUUCACGGGUAGUUUGAGUUUUGAAGUCUAACGGACGUGCGGCCCCACAAUCUGGGUGCACUGGAUAGCCUAGCCACGUGAACGGGUUUUCCUUCCCAGCAUCCCGUGGCUCGCGUGCUCGCCCUAGCCGCAUCUCGCUUGCAGCUUCCAGCUAGUAGCAUAUUUAAACUAGCGCCUCCCAAUUAAGCCCGAGGAGCCGGAAAAGCCUGGCGGGGCAUUGGGAACUGUGCAAUAUGGCUCUGUACGUAAAGUGCUCUACUACUACUCUGUAGCUUGUGGCGUUACACGCAUGGACUUCACUCCAUUAUCGGCUCUACUAUAAAAGAAAUUCCUCUUGACGUGUUUUUUUGAAACGGAGGCAAAAGCUGUGCUUCAUCUCAUUCAUAAAGAAGGAACUACUAACAAAGUUUGACGAGAUCCAUUACACCUCCACAAAUGGAAGCGAAAAGCCUAGUCUCGCUGUAUCAAAUAACUCAAAUGUUCUGCCCCCGCAGUAACCGUCGCUGAUAAACAGGCUGUUAGUGUGUGCGUGAGAGGAGCGGCUGAGUAGGCCAGCUACGUGAGAGGAGCGGUUGAAUAGAGCACCGAGAGUACCCACUAGGCCACUACGCAGGUGUACUUCCCCUGCAUUGAUAGUACAGCGAUGGUUCUAGAGAACAAUAGUACCCUCCACUUCCAACUGUAGCUCCUUGGCCCUGAGAUUCAAGAGUUCAAAACUGGUGCACUAUACUAGACUAGACUAGAAGUACAGUAAAACGCACUACUAGUUGAGAAAAGUAGUACUAGUACUGCUACAGUACGAGUACGUACUCCUCCGUCACAUAAUGUAAGACGUUUUUUGACACUAGUUGGCGUGUACAAAAAAUGGCAAAAACAUACCCAAAAUUUCUUAAUCCACCCCAAAAACUACUACCUAGUGCCAAAAGUUUCUUACUAGUGCUAUUAUUUACAGUAUAAUGCAAUCCCAUAACGUUCCAUAAUGCUAGUACUUGUAGUAAAUAAUAGCCUCGCCCCUUCGCUAAGGAACGAUCUACAGUUGGAAGGGACGAGGCCCUGCGGUUACUACGCUCUUAUCUCCUCCUCGCCAGUUCCCCUCCCCCGAAGAGAAGGCAGUUCGUCGCUGCUCCCAUGGAUUCUCUAGGCGGUUCUCCUCCUCGUCGGGGCUGGGAGACCUUGGACGAUGAUCCUCUGGGAGAAAUCGCACGCCGCUCCGACUUCCUCACCGCCGCAAGACUCGGUGCUUCCUGCACCAACUUUUUCAAGACGCUGCUUAAGCAGGCUCGGGAAAAGGCCAUGCUUGUUGGUCUUCCAUGCGUCCUCGAGGAGAAGGUUCUUUUAUGGGACAGUCCUUCGAACAGUCCACCGCUCCCUGGCCAUGGUUGCACGUUGACUCCGCUAGAGUUGCCGACGUUGAGAGGUAGUCGGAUUUUGUCCGAUGAACAGGUCAGUAAUGGAGUUUGAUCAUGUAGUACUUAGUUAUUCCAUUUCCAUCCCGUAAUUUCUCUGCUGCCCACCGUCUUAUAUAUAGGUCUGGGUUGGUGCCAACGAAGAUUGGCUUGCAUACCUCCGGCCGGAUACCACCAUCAUUUUGCACAACAUCCACAGCAGUGCGGCCAUUUCGGUAGACCCCUUCUCCACCAUUGGGAUCGGCCUUCCGGACUGGCUGGGCUUGAGGCUUGAAUACGUAUGAUGAUGCCUACAUGAGAUUGAAGAAGAUAGCAAUUGCGGACCCGCCGACAAAGCGACGCGGCUACGACGAUUACUAUCUCAUCACGGUGUUCGACAUAAGAAUUGCCAUCAAUGCAAGAGGCAGUAACGGCAGAGGCUGGCGCAUGUUGGCGGCGGCAGAUUUGUACCCCUACACGUUCGAAGACGCCGUGUGCCAUCUAGGCCGCAUAUUCGCGGUGACAAGCCAGGUGACUUGUUUCAUCUGGUUGCCAUCCUACGGUACGGGAGAUUACAAACAGAAUGCACAAACCAUCAUUUGCAUCCCUAACGGUACUCCAUUAUUUUGCAGGGACCAGUCAUCCCCCGAUCAAAAUAAGAUCGCCGAUCCUGGAUGUGCAUUUGCAUCCGCGAUUCGGUCUAACCUGGAACCUUGUAGCUGACUUUGGCAUAUUGGGAUCAACUAUCUUAGCAGUCGUUACCCAUGGUACCACUGAUGUGCAACAUGGUCACACAAUCUACCACGAUCGGACCAUCACCAUCUACCCAGGUAUUCCAUUUUUUAACCCUCUCGCCUUCUCUUUCAUUGUUGUACUAGUAGUAUACUUUGUAGUACUAGUAGGAGUACUUUUUACCUUGGAGGACGCGUAUAGCUAGCUAGGCCCUUAAAGACUUGAACCCACUAGCUGCCACCAUUUUUGUUUUUCCAUGUCUUACUAUCUCAUCCAUGUUGCCAAGAGUGGCUAUAUAUAAUAAGCCAGUUAUUUUACUUCCUCUAUACCGGAGUAGUACUAUUUGCUGCACAGUAUUACUGACCGCCAUAUUUGAGCCCAACAUUAUUAUGCAUGGACCUUGACUAUGUACGUCACCAUGUGUCCAGAUCUGGGAUGCCGCGUGUACGAGAUGAACAGCGCCGAGUUCGACCCCCGUGAUGCUACGUGGGUGCCGAGGAACACUCUUGGAGAGUACUCGCUUUUCAUCGGGGACAGCUACCCCAUUGUGAAGCGGAUGCCACCUUCCGUGCAUGACACGGAAGGCCUGCCGUUCAUGAAGCAUGGUUGUGUCUUCAGUGCGCACCGCCGGAUGAACGACAAGCUGGGACACGCUAUCCCUGAUUUAUGCCGCUUCAGCUUGGAUGAGUCUCCAUCGUGUGGAACCGGACUAGAAAGCUGCGACAAUGAUUCCCGUUGCCCACCGCUAUGGAUCGUGCCAUCCAUGAAGAACACAUGGGACUGGAACCUGGAGGAGGACAUGUAGCCCAUCUAUAACAUGUAAGUGGAGUACGGUAAUUGUGAACGGUAGCGCUGUGAAUAUAUGUAGACUAGUCGUGCACAAAUUUAUCACAUGAAUUGGAGAUGAACUUGUGUGGCAUACUAGUAAGUGUGUUACGUGUACGUGCAACUUGUGUGGUUGUUGCACGGGCUCCAACACGCUCUUUGAGAAAAAAAGGUGGCACAACUUUGGAUAUACGUGACGUGGCGACAUCAUACAGUAGCAUCGUUCGCUAUAGUUGUAGUACACUCCUACUAGGAUGCCAACUCCUAUAAAACCUUGCGCUUGGCUCUUUGCCUCUUCGGGAGGUUUAACAGUUCGUACUCUUGUGAACCUUGCACUUGGCUCUUCGCCUCUUCGGAAGGUCCAACAAUGAUGAUACUACAGUACAAUAUGCUUCUGGCAAUCUGACACCGAUUGAACUGCUGCACGUCCACCGCGAGGGCGAGGGCGAGGGAGAGGGAGAGGGAGAGGGCGCUGUAGUCAAAACCCUCUCCUCGUCCUGCGAACCACCGCACGCGUGGGCGAGGGAGAGGCGUAGUAAGCAAGCUUCUCCUCGUUCGGCGAGUUGACGGGACACAUCAAAGCAGUACUAGUACUAGUAGUAGUAGUCCAUACUGCGUCCUUUCCAAUUAAUAUGGCUUAAUUUGAAUCGAGAAAAAUACACUGGCGGUAAACAUAUGUAACAAUACGCUCUUUACGGUCACUAUAUAUAGUUUUGCGGCGAUUAUACGAUCACUAGCUCAUCGUAGAGCACUGUAUUGCACCCUACUGACAGGCCACAUAGUCGACGUGGCACUUUGUUGACUGGUUAAAUUGUCACCUGGUUUCUGGGUCCCACCUGUCAGUUGGCAGAGCAAAGAAAUCAGUGUUGCGUGCGUCCAUGUGUACGUGUGAGUGUUGCAUGUUGCAUGCAUGCAUGCAUGGGGCUUACUCCCUCCCAUUGACAUGUUCAUAUUUCAAGCUUCCUCUGUUCCCUCCAUAUGGUAAUACUCCCUCUGUUCCCAAAUAGUACGGAGUAAAAGCCUCCCUCUGUUCCCAAAUACGGAGUAUUUGUCUUUCUACAGAUUUCAACAAGUGACUAGGUACGGAGCAAAAUGAGUGAAGUGAGCGUAGAGGCAUUGGGAUACUGUAGAAAGGAAGUCCUCGCGAUCCAUUAUUCCCCAUCUCGGUCUGAGAGAACUAUUCAACUAGUCUUCGUAGUGAAGUGACAAUACACACUGUAGUAGAUGGGACACGUAAAUAAUAAGCUGAACCAUCGUGUUGGUGUUACUAAAUCAGCCUUACCCAGUACUGCCAUCAUGUUUGCCAGUAGAGCACGCUUCCGCAAAUAUGCCUACGCACCUCUGUCCUCCAUUAACUGACAUAUGGGCCCUGUUGUGGUAGACCCACAUGACAUCGGUGUAACUAUUUACACUCCGAAGGACGGUAUAUCCUGGUAGUAGUACUAGUAGAAUUGAGAUUGAAUGCACUUUCUUCCCCGUCUUCCACUCUUCUUCCACCUCUCUUCUUCUUCCUCCUCUCUUCUUGUUCCUCCUCUCUUCCCCAUCGUCGGCCGCACACCAUUUACCCCCGCUCACUGCUCGCCCGCCCGCGCCAUCUUCCUUGGUAGCUCGCGCGUACCAUAUCCCCCCACUCACUGCUCGGCCACACAAGGAGAAGCUUCUUUGCUCGCCCGCCCGAAUCCACUUCCCCGCUGGCUCGCAGGCACCGAAAACCCCAAUGGCAGAACCGACUGACACGCAGAGCCGCGAUUGGAAUUCCCUCCCCGAUGUUCUCUUGGAGCAGAUCUGUAGUCGUAUGGAUCUACUCAGCACCGUCCGUCUGGCCGCAUGCUCGGUGUCUUCGUACCGUCUACUCGUCUGCAAUCGGCCGGCUCUUUUCAAGACACCCUGCUUGCUGAUGCCCGAUCCUCGCAGGUGGCCUAGACACCGACUUGAUGAUCCUACGGAGGUUGCCGUGGUGCCCCUCGACAUGCUACCACUACCCGUCCACCUGUCCUUCAUGCGCGGCCACUACUGGGCGGGCAUGAAGGCCAACUAGAUCGUCCUCAUCCACCACACCGGUAGUCUGUGGCGUCUCGUGGAUAUCUACACCCAGCGAGAGAUCACCCUUCCAUCGUUGGAUACCGCCGCCAUCGAGCCUCGCGGCCCGUCGGACACUCCUGCCUACUACGCACGAGACGCGUCAAGCUUUUGGCCCGACCUCUGUUUGCAGAAAGUUGUAAUCUGCGAAGUGCCCACACCAUCCGAAGACUACAUGCAUUACAAGCUCAUUGCCUUGUUCAACAUGGGAUUAGUCUAUCUGGAAUCCGGUCGCCAUACAUGGUUAUGGCUCAUCAUCAAUCUUGUCGAGGCAACAUUUCUGUCUGAUGCUAUAGUGCACGAUGGCAUCGUUCACGCGGUCGACGCAUCGAUUGGCUGCCUAUACUGGUGGAAUCUAUCAUCGUGUAAUUGUUCUAUCUCAUCUCAUCUUUACCUUAUGAAUACGACUGCCUGUUCAUUUGUUACAAAUUUAGAAUGCAUAUCAUGUCUAUAACCACAUCAUUGCUAUAUGUUCCUAUCAUUUCCUAGAUUUUUAUGACCACACAUGUUAUUGUUAGAGUUGAUAUGAGAACAAUUGGCAUCUAAUGAUUGUUAGAAUACAUAUUAUGAGCAUAACAUCUUGAUUGCUAUAUGUUACUCUCGUUUACAAGAUUUUUAUAACAACGCAUGUUAUUGCUUAGAGUUGAUAUGAGAAUAGUAGUAGUAAGUGCUAUGGUAGAAUAUGAGUAGGCGCUGUCAUAGCUGUUUUCCUCUCAUUGUUACAUGAUGUUUGAACCAUGACAUAUUGCUAGAAUAUGAAAGCCAUUGGCUUAUUUUUUUAACUUGGGGUAUGAUUAUGACCACGACAUUGCAAUUCUCUGUCUAUGAUAUGUGUCACUGUUAUAAUAAUCUUAAUUCCACACAUACUCUGAACAUGAUUGUUUAUUUUUGUCAUUUUGGUCUCCAAUUUGAAUUGUUGCAGCAGAUGCAAAUGCGCUGGCCUUCAUGAUUCCAGGACCUGGAAUCAUACCAGCCGAUGGGUGGUGGUUUAUCGCUCGUUCAGCUGACGGCGAUCAUUUGAUGCUCAUUCGCACGUACCAAAUUGACCAAACCAUUACAUCAAACCACAUGCAGUACAAUGCGUGGGGCGUUCAUGACAUUGAUGGCUAUGGCUGCUUCGUGUUCGAGAAAGAUCCCAGCUCCGUUGGGCCAGGCGUAUUCAACUGCAGGCGGGUUUACAGCCCCGGCAACCACUCCUUGUUAGGUGACACAAGAAUCCCGGCGGCGUGUUCGGGUAUUCUGGACUUCAAAUUUGGAGUACCACUUAUUUGUCGAAAUCUUUCAUCAUUCACUUAAAACAGUCGAUUGAUCAUACAUUGAGUACCAUAUAACUGGAAUUACCGAUGCAAGUCGAAGAAGGAUUAGCCGGUGCUGCCGGCUGGCGUCAAGUUUGAUCCCACGGAUCAGGAGCUGAUCGAGCACCUUGAGGCCAAAGUGAGUGCUGACAGCGCGAGAUUUCAGUCUCUCAUUGAUUUGUUCAUACCAACCAUCGACAGCGAGCAGGGCAUAUGCUACACCCAACCUGAGAAACUUCCAGGUAAGACACCGAUCGGCCGUCUACUUGCACAAACAUAUUCCUUUGUUUAUAGCUCUAUUUUUCUUUUUAGACGCAGACCUGGUGAAGCAAUUACAAUUUGACAGUUAAUAAAAAGUGAAAGAAGUGACUGCAACAUGCCAAAGAUGUUAUGAAAAUGCCAACUAGGUACACUAAAACCUGUAUUCCACAAUACUGCAGGUAUCACACUGAGUGGCCUAAGGAAGCAUUUCUUCCAGCACAAUUCUAGGGCGUUCAAAAGGGGCACGUGGACGCAUCGCAAGAUACAGUCAGAGUGCGGCAUGCACGCAAUGUGGCACAAGACCGGCAAUACCUUGCCGGUGAUGGUCAACGGCCGGCAGACGGGCAGCAAAAAAGGUUCUGGUGCUGCACACCAACAAGAACUUCGACCAGCAGAGGACCAACUGGGUGAUGCACCAGUACCACCUCGGGGACCUGGAGCAAGAGAAGGAGCAGGAGCUGGUCCCCUGCAAGAUUUUCUACCAGACGAACACUAGGGCCAGGAGUAAAAAGAUUAUAAGUUAGUUUGGUAUUGGUAGUUGUACUACCUUGUCGUCCGCAAAUUGGUAUUGUUGUUAACGAUCUUUUGGUAUGAACUUGCAUUUGCUUCCAACCAUCAUGCCGAGGGUCGACGUGGAUAUAAAGCUGAAUCAUUUGUUUCAAAACGAAUUUUCAGGCACCUGAUUUUUAUUUGAUGGGUAGCAUAAGCACCCGCCGUUCGAAUUCCCAGUUCUCCAAUUUUUUCGAAACAAGUGCAUGCACUUAUUAUCACGAUAAAAAAACAAUAUCCGUGCUGCAUCCCAGUUAUCAGUCUGUACUUGCAGAAUUCUCUCAUUUAUUGAGCACGUAUAUUGUUUUUUCAGGUCGAGCAAGUUUCAACUGGGUUGUAGACUGCCCAGGGUUGGUUUUGUUUUUAACAGGCCCAGCCCAUGACGACAACGGGGCACAAAGAUCCAGCAGGUAUCUACUGGCCUCUGGCCCGCCAGCGUUACUUAUAUUUUGUCUUACAACAUCCGCAAGCAGUUUUUUUACUAAAUCAAACACACAGCCUAGUUCUAUUUUCCUCUUGAAACGCAUGUCCUACAUCCGUUUUCUAAUCUCUACCUAUAGUUUUACUAGUUCAUAUACACGUAUCAUUAUAUUGAAAACACAUAAAAUUCCCUUUUCAUAUAUACAUCCUUAUUUUUGUUGUUUUUUCCCACCCAGCGCUGUUUUUUACCACUGGUUUUCCUUAAACCAACUCAAUUGUCCCACGUCUUAUUUGCUUACAAAAACAAAACGAUUUUUUUGGCAAAUCAAUAAGUUCUUAAAAAAAUGUUUAUCAUUUCGGGAUUACAACAGUUCGGACUCCACCGAAAUAUGCAAAAUAAGGUUGAACUUUUUGACCGUGGUCCUGGGCAGAAAAUGGGCUGUAAUAAAUUACUUAAGAAUUAGCAAAUGGGCUGCAAAUUAUAAAAAAUAGCAAAUGGGCUUUAUGUUGUCUGCCACAGAUUUGGAGGCUGACUUGUGGGCGUACUAAGUUCAUGCGUACACAAGGUUUCUCAAAAAAGAAACUUAGUCAACAAUCGACUCUACCAGCAUCAGACCGUUAGAUGUCAAUCUAACGGCAAUCGUGCUUCUUCAGUCUCUGAUCUUCCUGCCCCAGCCGCCCAAACCAGCGCCAUCGGAACCGCCUGCUCCCGCCUCCCGUGGCCGGCAAUGCUGCCGGGCAGGCCUCACGGCCCCAUCAUACUAGCAUCCCUGGCCUGUCUAUCCCUCUACUCACCCACACCUCCUGUUAUUUUCCGGCUACGGCAACCGAACCAGUCAACCCUCGUACUCUCCACCGCGUGGGCAGCCACUGCCGUGUCUUCCCCGGCUCCGUGUCGUUCCCUUCGUAGGCCUCGCCAUCGUCCACCGCCCUGGUGCUCUCGGCGCGGCGUGGUCAACGAUGUCCAUCCAACGGCCGUAGUGCUUCUUCAACCUCUGGUCUUCUUGCCCCAGCCGCCCAAAGCAGCGCCGGUCGUGCCGCAUGCUCCUGCCUCCCGUGGCCGGCUGUGCUGCCGCGGAGGCCUCACCGUCCCCAUACUACUCCCACCGCUGGCCAGGCCAUCCCUCCACUCAUCCACUCCCCCUGUUAUUCUGCGGUGACGGCAGCCUCACACCGCAGCCGAACCAGUGAACCCUCGUACUCCUCUCCGCGCGGGCAUCCACUGCCGCGUCUUCCCCGGCUCCGCGUCGUCCCCUUCCUAGGCCUCGCCGUCGUCCACCGCCGUGGUGCUCUCGGCGCAGCGUGGUCAAUGUGGUCAACGACCGACUUCCAUCGGAAGCGUACUGUACGUGGAGAGGCUGACAGCUGGGUCCACGGCAGCCGCAAGGAAGUGCCUCCUUAUUACGCGCAAAAUAAUUAUUCCUCCACCUGACAGCAGGGACCCACCGGACGGGCCACCAGUAUUUUGCGGAAAAAACGUUUGCCCCUGACUGCUGGGACCCACCGGACGGGCCACCGUAUUUCGUGGAAAAAACGUUUGCCCCUGACUGCUGGGACCCACCGGACGGACCACCGUAUUUCGCAAAAAAACGUUCCCCCCGCUGUCAGCUCAGACCCACCGGAAGUGCCUCCUUAUUACGCACAGAAAAAUGAAUACCCCCUGCUAGCUAGGACCCACCAUGGUGGGAGGCUGACUUGUGGGCCUACUAAGUUGACGGGGACGGAGGGCUUUGUCAACUUAGUCAAUAUGGACGAUUCUAGCUCCAGUGACCGUACGAUGUCCAUCCAACGGCCGUCGUGCUUCUUCAAUCACUGCUCUUCCUGCGCCAGCCGCUCGAACAAGCGCCGGCGGGACUGCCUGCUCCCUCCUCCCCACGGCCGGCUCUGCUGCCGCGCAGGCCUCACCACCCCACCGUACUCCCAUCGCUAGCCUAGCCAUCCCUCUACUCACCCACACCUGCUGUUAUUCUCCGGCGACGGCAGACGAACCAGUAAACCCUCGUACAGUCGUACUCCCCUCCACGUGGGAAACAACUGCCGAGUCUUCCCUGCCUCCGUGUCGUUCCCUUCCUAGGCCUCGCCGUCGUCCACCGCCCUGGUGCUCUCGGCGCGGCCUGGUCAACGUGGUCAACGACCAACAUGCAUCUGAAGUGGACUGUACGUGGAGAGGCCGACAGCUGGGGCCACGGCCGCACGCAAGGGAGUGCCUCCUUAUUACGCUCAAAAUAAUGAUUCCUCCACCUGACAUCAAGGACCCACCAAAAGGGCCUCUGUAUUUCGUGAAAAAAACUUUACCGCCACUGACAGCUCGGACCCACCAGCUAUAUCUUCGCACGCAAGGAAGUGCCUCCUUAUUACGCACAAAAAAAUGAAUACUCCUCCUGUUAGCUGGGACCCAGUAUAGUGGCAGGCUGACUUGUGGGCCUACUAAGUUGACGGGGACGGAGGGCUUUGUCAACUUAGUCAAUAUGCACGAUUCUAGCUCCAGUGACCGUACGAUGUCCAUCCAACUGCCGUAGUGCUUCUUCAACCUCUGGUCUUCUUGCUCCAGCCACCCAAACCAGCGCCGGUCGUGCCUCGUGCUCCUGCCUCCCGUGGCCGGCUGCGAUGCGGUGGAAGCCUCACUGCCCCCUACUACUCCCACCGCUGGCCAGGCCAUCCCUCUACUCACCCACACCCCCUGUUAUUCUGCGGCGACGGCAGCCUCACACCGCAGCGAACCAGUGAACCCUCGUACUCCUCUACGCGUGGGCAUCCACUGCCGCGUCUUCCCCGGCUCCGCGUUAUCCCCUUCCUAGGCCUCUCCGUCGUCCACCGCCCUGGUGCUCUCGGCGCGGCGUGGUCAACGUGGUCAAGGAACGGCUUCCAUCGGACGUGGACUGUACGUGGAGGGGCUGACAGCUGGGUCGACGGCCGCAGCAAGGAAGUGCCUCCUUAUUAUGUGGAAAAUAAUUAUUCCUCCACCUGACAGCGGGGACCCACCGGACGGGCCACCGUAUUUCGCGAAAAAAUGUUUCCCCCCUGACUGCUGGGACCCACCAGCUACACCUUCGCACGCAAGGAAGUGCGUCCGAGCAAAAAAAAAACAAAACGAUUCGCCCCCCUGACUGCUGGGACCUACCAGCUACAUCUUCGCACGCAAGGAAGUGCCUGACAGUCGGGACCCACCUGGUCUAAGCGUACGUAGCGUUGUCAUUCUGGUCGCGAACGUGUACGUACGUAUAUACUGGUGGAUGUAGAGGCGCGCACGUGUCGUAGUAGAGGCGUGUACAUGUCGUAGUAGAGACGCACACAUAGCAUGUACACGUACGUAUAGCGGCCAGGGUGCAAGAAAGAAAAUACGGCCACGUAUGUGUAUAUACGGGCGGGGUCUCGAACGCCUACUCGCGCAUACGUACGGCCAGGGCUCGUGUACAUGGCUGGGUCGGAACGGAGAAACAGCGUCGUCGUCGUGUUCAUGGGGAGGCAAUGGAAUGCGUCGUGUUCAUGGGGAGGCAACGGAAUGCGUCGUGUUCAUCGGGAGGCAACGGAACGCGUGGGAGCCAACCGGCUGGGUCGGAACGGAAUGCGUGGUCGUGUUCAUCGGGAGGGCUUGGACGGAACAGGCGAUGGAAACGAGGCCUGGCGUACCGCAGAACGGAGAAAACGGACCUCCUACGGUCGAAACGGGGGUCCUAUUGAUCGGGAGGGGUGUGGCGUACCGCAAAACGGAGGAAACGGACCUCCUACGGUCGAAACGGGGGUCCUGUUGAUUGGGAGGGGUGUGGCGUACCGCAAAACGGACGAAACGGACCUCCUACGGUCGAAACGGAGGUCCUGUUCAUCGGGAGGGGUGUGGCGUACCGCAAAACGGGACUCCACGGGAUACUGUUCAUCUCCACCGUCGACCUCCUCCAGCCUCCACGGGCUACCGUCGACCUCCUCCAGCCUCCACGGGCUCCUGUUCAUCCAGCCUCCACCGCGCGCUACUCCACCAGCUACUGUUCAACCACCCCUCCACCGUCUACUGUUUAUCCAGCCCUCCACACCACGGGGUCCUGUUCAACCACCCCUCCACGGGCACCCCUCCACCGUCUACUGUUCAUCCAGCCCUCCACACCACGGGGUCCUGUUCAUCCAGANNNNNNNNNNNNNNNNNNNNNNNNNNNNNNNNNNNNNNNNNNNNNNNNNNNNNNNNNNNNNNNNNNNNNNNNNNNNNNNNNNNNNNNNNNNNNNNNNNNNNNNNNNNNNNNNNNNNNNNNNNNNNNNNNNNNNNNNNNNNNNNNNNNNNNNNNNNNNNNNNNNNNNNNNNNNNNNNNNNNNNNNNNNNNNNNNNNNNNNNNNNNNNNNNNNNNNNNNNNNNNNNNNNNNNNNNNNNNNNNNNNNNNNNNNNNNNNNNNNNNNNNNNNNNNNNNNNNNNNNNNNNNNNNNNNNNNNNNNNNNNNNNNNNNNNNNNNNNNNNNNNNNNNNNNNNNNNNNNNNNNNNNNNNNNNNNNNNNNNNUCGAUCGGCUUCAGUUAGCAGCAGUAGCGAAGGAAUCGCUCGAUCGGGUUCAGUUAACAGACAUCGAUCGAUCGCUCGGGUUCAGUAAUGCGUAGCCUGCAGUGUAAUCGCUCGGGUUCAGUUAGAGCCCAACCCCUCGCUCGGGUUCAGUUAGAGCCAACGCCUCGCACACACGCGCGUACGUGUACGAGAGAAACGCACAUCGCUCGGCCCCCGACCUACCACCGUAACCGGGAACUCCCCGAAAUUUUCCUCGCCCUCGCUUCUACCAUGGUUUUUUCCGUCAUGGACGGCCCAAAGAAUGUCAUGUAGCUGCGUCUCCGCCCGCCCAGGACGAAAAGCCCAUUUUCUGUCAUGAUUUUUUGUCAUAGAAGUAGGAGCCCACCACAUCUAUGAUGAUACCGGGUUUUGUCACAAUUAUCGUCAUAGAAGUGUCACAUGUAUGACAGAAAAAAAUUUCGUUUGGCCCAAAAUGUCACGGAUGUGUCUUUUUUUGUAGUGUAAGGGGCCUCUGAAACCGGGACAAAUGGGCCGGUUUCUACCAGUGGAAGCUCCAUCCUCCUUUCUCGUCCUCUCUUCCUUUUCUCAUAUCAGCUUUCAUCCAUCUCCCAUACUGUUGCACCUCACCUCUCCCUAGUCCAAUAGAACACGCCUUGUCCACGUGUCCAAUUAUACCACACGUGUAACAAAAAUCAGGGAGGUACUCAUACUCUAGGGGGCACCAUUUUUGCUCAUCAUCUUUCUUCUUUCUUUUAUCCACGUCCAUCACUUCUGCAGACUCCUUGUCUUCUCCCGUUCAAUAUCCAAAGUGAUUCCUCUCAACAGUGGCUUUGUAAUGUCUAGUCUAACUUUCAGCCUAAGGAAACUUCCAGCCACAUUAUCAUCAUCCCCCUGGUUACCUCCAUGAACUCGCCAAUCUCGUCACCAAUGAUCCCUCCGUUUUCUUCACUCAUGAAACCUAGCGGCAUCUUGGUCACCCUGACCCAAAUAGGGAUGAUAGUGAACUCAUACUCUUCUAGCGUUUUAGCUGGGUCGAAAUCUACCAUCACAAUCAGGUUCUUGCCCACCAUCCAUGGCCCUUCCUCCAAUGCUUUCCUCUUCCCCGCUGCUUGCAAGAAGGUGAAAAGAAAGGUGUUGUCCUCUAACUCCUUGCACUUGAUUCCCUUGAUCGGACACCACGCUCUUCCGAGGGAUUUAAUCAUACCUUCCACAUAUACUGGUUUGUCGGACAUAACCUUACCGAUCGCCUGUGGAUCUUCCGUUCCCGUUCUCCUCAACCCGCCCCUUCCGAUCUUGACUCCCUUCUUCUCUGCUUCUGGCAACCGCAACUUCUGCAUCAAACCUUCCACUUUCUCCAUUGUGUCGAGGACUUGCAUCAAUCUAUGGUUUACUAGGUGGUUGUAUUACGAAUGGAUGCCCUAGCAACACUCGUAAGGCUUUUGGUGGAUGGGUGAGCGGUCUCGAGAUCAAUCUAGCAAGGAUCGCCGAGGCUAGGGGGAGAGUUUGCUGGCGUCGGCCAGAGACGGGGUCGCCUGAGGGGACUCUAGGGUUUACCAGGAGUCACCGUAGAAUCCCCUGGGAAUCGCCCAAGCGCCAAUCAUGGAACCGUCACCCAAGGGACGGACGGGUUAAGGAUGAUAAUUAAAGCGGACUUUGAUAGAGAGACACGUGAGAAAUAGAGUGAUAGAGAGAGAUACGUGAAAAUUAAAGCGGUUUUAAUUUCUUUCUUUUCUGUAAUUAAAGAGAUACGCAUGAGAAAUAGAGAGAUAAGAGAGAUACCUGAGAAUUAAAGCUGUUUUAAUUUUUUCCGUUUCUAUGAUUAAAGAUCUGAUCUACACAGUUACAAUCUUGACCUGCAAAAUCAACGGCCUCCAUUUUCUAUUUUUCUCUAAUUAAUGUGGGAAUUUCUUGGGAGUGCCUAUUAGUAUAGGUAUAUAUAUGUGCAAAAAUCUCGACAUUAAUGAACAUAUAUCUGGUGCACUUGCAAUCUUUUGUAGUACAUUAAUGAAUAUUUAAAGUAUUUUCCAACUCUUGCUAUUUAUAGACUUGUCGUCCGUGUCUGCCACAUUUGGAGUCCAACUAUUUCCUACUGGAACCUUACACUCCACUAGAACUGAGUUUGUCAAGUAACAGAUAACCAAUAUGAGAGGGAGCAGCCUAGUGCAGGCGACGAUGAUAUUCUUCAUUGGAUGCCUUGUGCUUUGUGCACAGUGUAAGUAUAUAUCAUCAUCGUCUUUAGAAUCUUGUGUUAACUUCUUGCCACUAAUUCUUCGGAUCAGACAUACAUACACACACACAUCUGCGGUACUGCAUACUAAGGUUAAAUAUACUAUACAGGUGCUCUCGAUAAUAAGCAAAGGAUGGUCAACCAGGAUGAUCAUGCGGCGAACACAAGUACCAACGCUACCAUCAUCAACUCAACAACUGUAGGCGAGAGCAAGAAAACCGAGAAAUUUUGCAGCCUCUUUCUCGUAUGUUAUUUCAACAUUGAGAUUCGUGCUGAGUGCUACUGUUGCGAGAAUAAGAAUGCCGACUGUUACAAGACGAAGAGUGAGUGCCUGCAAAAGUGCCAUUCCUACAACGGUUAAUGCCCACCUUCAUCGCGGUCUUUGGGAUAGAAUUCCAUAUGCUUGGAAAAUUUGCCCGUCGGUAAUAAAAGGCACCUUAUAUGGUUUGGGCAAUUAGGUUCCAAUUAAACAUGAGAAAGCCCGCAUGUUUCCGUGUAGAUCCAACAAGGAAAAAUUUGAUGAAAGAAAUCCAAGUAACUAGUUGUCUUGCAUAUUUACAAAGUUCAAAUCCUUUGGUUGUUGUGCUUUGACUCGAUUGUCUAUUAUGCUGUUUCAUUUACUUGCACAUUGCCCACUUGUUCAUUUAACACACAUCACCCACUUGGUGAUUUG
RNAcentral lists this long non-coding RNA (82388 nucleotides) under Triticum aestivum (bread wheat). Its description in RNAcentral is "long non-coding RNA (TAES_LNC017458)". The record is from RNAcentral. Lineage: Eukaryota; Viridiplantae; Streptophyta; Magnoliopsida; Poales; Poaceae.